Long non-coding RNA from Gallus gallus (chicken), 53807 nucleotides. The record is from Ensembl. Lineage: Eukaryota; Metazoa; Chordata; Aves; Galliformes; Phasianidae.
GGAGGGGCCACCAUUGUGAUGACAUGGUCGCAGGGAGCAGGCAAGAAUAUGAGCUGUCCCAGUAUGCAUGCAGCCUGUGGAUUGUACAUGCUUGGACUAAAUGGACCAUUUAGAGAGAUGGUCCAUAGGUUACAGAGCAUGAGCACCCUGUCGACAACUAAGAAAGUCUCCUACUGCAUAUGUGUACUACCAAAGAUGAUGCUUAACAUAGAGAAGAACAUGCAUCAGUAAGUGUAGAAAAGUCACAACUGAGUAAGUAGUUUUCCUGUCCUAUAAACACUUUUUUCCUGAAAAACACCAUAUAAAUUUGUAAGUGCAUGUGAUAACUAACAUUAUCUCACAUUUACUUGAUGCAAUUGUUGCUUUUCACACUUGCUAGAAACAACUACUUUGUUUUGUUGCUAGUAAAACUGUGGGAGCUCUACCUCAGGGACAGAUAAAGUACUGGGUGAAGUUUUGCAGGAAUAAAGGUAUAUUUUGAUUAGUUACAUAGAAAGAUCUAGGUUUGCCCUAGAAAUCAAUGGGAUGUAGCUUGCAUUUUUAUUAGCUUGCUUGCUGGCAACUUCUUCCUGUCUGUAUGGAUAUUCCCCCACAGGCUGUGUUUGAAUUCACAGAAGGCUGUGAAAGGCCUUGAAGAAGCUGCUACUCUGCUGUAAGAGAGCAUUUGUGUAAAUACUCUUGACUGAGGCAGACGUCUAGAUCGGGCCCUGGUUUCCCCUCUAUUUCCACAGCAGAGGAUUUUAAACCAGCAUUCAAAGGAACUUUCUGUCUACGUGAUAGCUCAGCUAUCACAUAUCUAGAACUGCAAAAUUCAAUACUCUGCUUUCCUGUUCAUUCCUUAUUAUGUUGCUGAGAGUAUUAGUUAGCUUUAGUCGUAAAGUGGCUUUAAGGUUGGACUAUGAAAAGACACCAUAAACUGCAUCCAUAUCAGACAGAGCCAGCUUGCAAUUGUUUACAAAAGGGACCUGCUGCUGGCCAGAGCUGAGCCAAUAAGCAAUGCCAGUGGUACCUCUGUAAGAUCAGGUUUAAAGAAAGGUACAAUGUACCGUGUAGCUUUGUGAGAGAAGAGUGAGAAAAAUGUGAUAGAAACAGCCCCACAGACACAAAGGUCAGUGAAGAACUGGGAAGAGGGUUGGAGCACAGAUUCCUCUACAGAAUACCAAGGUAAAGCAGAUUGUCCCUUGGUAUCUCAUGGAAGAGUACCUGGAGGAGCAGGUGGUUGUGUCCUUAAGGAAACUGCAGUCCAUGAGGAACCCACACAGGGGAAAGUUUUCUGUCAGGAACUGAAUGUCCCAUGAGGUCCACACCAGCGCAGUCUGUUCCUGGUGAAACGUAACUUGUGGAAACAACAAAUGCUGGAGCAGUUCAUAAGGAAUUGCAUCCAAUGGGAGAGACUACAAGCCCCAUUUUCCAUUGCCCAUGCCACUCAGAGGACAAGGAAGUAGAUCAGUAGGGAAUGAAAGAAUGAAGUUGAACCAUCAAAUAAGGGGGCUAUGGGAAAGGUGUUUUGGUUGUGAUUGUUUGUUGUUUAUCUCAAUAUCCUAAAAAUAGAUUUAAUUGGUAAAUUAAUUUUUUAUUCCCUAAGUUGAAUCUGUUUUGCUCUUCACAAUAAUUGGCGAGUGAUCUCCGUGUUCUUACUUCCUGGAGAAAACAGAAUGGGGAUCUUAUCAACACUUAUAAAUAUCUUAAAAGGCAGCUGUCAAGUGCAUGGGGCAGGCUCUUUUCAGUGGUGCCCAGCAACAGAAUAAGGGGCAACAAACAGAAACUGGAACACAGGAAGUUUCAUCUGAACAUGAGGAAAAACUUCUUUACUGUGAAGAUUACAAAGCACUGGAACAGACUGCCCAGAGAGGUUGCAGACUUGCUUCUGGAGAUAUUCAAAACCCACCUGAAUGCUUUCCUCUGCAACACGUUGUGGGGAACCUGCUUUAGCAGGGUGUUGGACUAGGUAAUCUCCAGAGGUCUUUUCCAGCCCCUACCAUUCUGUGAUUCUGUAAUUUGACCAAUGAGAUUAUUUGUUCUGUCUGUCCUACUGAAGAGGGGGAGGGAGUGAGCACCUGGCUCCAUGCCAUGGCUAACUCAACACACUGAAGCAGAAUUAUAAUGGCAGGUGCACUCUUUUAUUAAACAGUUACUUAUUUUUGUACAAAAAUAUGAUGCACUUGCAUUGUACUUCCACUAUAGCCUAAAGGUACUAAUUUGCAUUUAUAUAUUCUGGAAAAAAAAAAAAUUGAUAACUGAUUGUAUUGUCUGACUGUAACCGAAUUGAAAUUCUUGAUCAGUGAGAGGAUUACUUUAUUUUCUGAAGUUUCUGCUUGAUUUUUUUUUUUGCAAUGUAGAAAUCUCUCAUCUCUAAUUGAUGUCUGAUUUCUUUUCUAUAAAUGUCUUCUGCUCAAAAGUCUUCAUUGCAGGCUUUCUGUAAAUUGUGUGCAUUGAUUGUGAAGUUCUUGUCCUUAUUUCCAAAGCCCUGAGUGGCUAUGGUAUUGGACUAAUUUUCUCUUCUGCAUUUUCUAAGCUGUUAAUUACAGUCUGAAUCAUAAGGUUACUUUUUUUUCUGUACUGUAAUUUGGUGAGCUGUGAGUCAUGAAGUUUUUGUAGCUCUGUCCUUUCAACGAUAUUGCAGGAUCCUUUCCUGCUGCCCACUUGGUGUCCUUAUUUAAAAAUAACAUUGAAGAAAGAAGCUUUUGCUUCUACUUUUAACUUGCUAGUUAGUUGUACUUGUUCAGUGCUUCAAGACUUUUUUUUUUGUUAAGGAUAAUAUGCUAGGUUAGUGAGUUCCCCAAGGUACUAGCUGAAAUACAAAUGGUUAUUAAUAAUAUGUAUGUAGUAAUAAACUGAAAAUGGCUCACUAAAAUGUUUUCUGGGCAGAUUUUCAGGUAGAAUAUUGUGCAGUAAAAUAACAAUUCCUUUUAUUUACGGUUAUUACUGUGAUUUUACUAGUAUAUUUUUAUACAAUUAAUGCAAAGUAAAUGACAUGUGUAUGUGAAGGAAAUUGAUUCCUCAUAGCCUAUGCACUUAUCUCUCUUUGACUGCAAAAUUGGGUUUGAUUAUUGUGUUUAAGAUAAGAAAAUGUUGUUUGUUUGUUUUCUUUUUAAAGUCAUAUCUCAUUGACAUAUCCAAAUAUUUAAAAUUUUGUCAUUACUUUUUACUCAGAAAAAUAUUGGAAUAUUUCCCAUUGCUAGAGAGUCAUUCAGACAAAUGUGAGAGUUUUGAGUAGCAAUUGCCACAGAUAGCUGAGUUCCAUGUAUUUGAUUUUUUCCCCCACUAGAAGAGGAAAUAUGAUUGAUUACUACUAGAGAAUGAAGCAGAGGGACUGGCUGAUUUAUGUGAAAGACUUCUGAUUAAAAAUACACAUAAACCUAAAACUCCUCAAAAUAGAUUUCAUAACUCAUAAUUCAAAUUACCCUUUUCUUCUAAGACUGACAGAAAAAAAUAUUUGAUUUUAACCACUUGGGAGGAGAAUUCUUUUGUGGAGUUUUCUUCUUUAAUUUUUUAUAUUUCUAUUCUGUAUGUUCUCAAGCCAUGUAUUAGUUGUAGGAACAGUGAACUAUUGUUAUAGAAUUCCUCAUGUUGGAAAAGACAUUUAAGGUUAUAUUAAACAAACAAAGCAAAACAAUUAAUGAUGUGAGACUCAUGAAAAAUGUGAUAAUUGGCAGCAGUGGAACACAGAAACCAGGACACAUACAUUUCUAUCGUGUCAUAAUAGUCCCCUGCACCCUUCUUUCAUUAUUUUAAGCCUCAGCGUAGGAACCCUCAUAUUUCACUUGACUAACAUUUUCUUCUCUAAAAGAUGUUUCUGUUCCUCUUGAACAGCUUUGACAUUUCCAUUAUUAGCAACAGGCCUCUGCAACUGGUGAAGUGAGAUGCUGGGGGCUAGAGGUGGACUGUGCUUCUUUCGCAGGAAGUUCUGCUGGGUUUGUCUAGGGGCAGAGGCAUAUAAACGAUUCAUCAGAGGUUAAAAAGGUUGCUUGGGUCAGCUGACCCACAGUAAAUAUGCAUCUUAGCUCAGGGCAAAAGUAAAAUAGUUCGACUUUCUUUAAGGAAAGCAAACUUGGUAAACCAUACGUACUUGUAUGGAUACACCACACACUGGCCAACAAUUUGUGUGGACUACUGCACAUGUUUGAAUUGUUCAGCUGUGUAAAAUCAUUUGUCUGUUUGGAUUUUCUGUCUUGCAUUUUCCUCCCAAAGGGACCGUGUGUAGAAACCCUCCAAGGAGCUAUUUCUGUGCUCUGAUUUAUAUUGCAUAAUUAUACACAAUGUUGGGAAUAUUUGAUAGCUGCUGGAACAGCUCUGUUGAUCUGAGUACAUGAGUCUCACUUCUGGCAGCAGUGCCUCCUCUGUACCAGUGACUCUUCUCACAUGGCAGCUCUGCCCAUCUUGUAGUAUCACACUUCUGCUCCUGCCAACUGGCAUGAAUGGUCUUGUGUCUCAUGCUGAAUACUUAGCACUCAGACCCUUCGUGUGCACAUAGUAGAUAUUGGGGCUAAAAUCUGUGAAGAUGAUAUUCUUAUGGCUGCAUGGUUUUCUUUCAACUGUUUCAGUCUCCCUUUUGAAACUACAUUUUUGCAGCUCUCAUUCUAUUUGUUUCUUAUGUGAAAUUCAAAAGAAGUUAUCUUGGGGCCUCAGUUGCCUACACAUCACCUUGUUUAGUUUCAGAAAUGUUCUCUCUUUCAAAAAAAUAAUUUAUGAUUCAAAAGGUGGCUUCUUAGUCAAAGGUCACACUACUCUGUCCAAAAAAAAAAAAAAAAAAAAAAAAUCUAUAGGUUACAGUGUCUGGAAUCAAUCACUGAAGAAUCCAAGAAUCCAUCUCUCUUUGCAUGGCCAAACUGAUCUCUCUUUUGUUGGUUUAGCAGCACGUGGAGUCUAAUAUAUAUAAUAUAUAUCUUCCCAGUUUGGGAGCUCAAUCUUGCACAGUUUGGGCUGUCAGAAUCUGUUGUGUGAAGAUGUCAUAUACCUUACUUGUGGGAGAGUAUUGUAUGUAUUUGAGAAUUGCUGGAAAUUUACAUCCCUCAGAAAAAGAAAUCUGCUGCUUGAGGAACUUGGGAAGAAGGCAGAGGAAAGGAAUAUCUCUGGUAACGUUCUCUGGAAAGAUCAUAAUACUCUACGCAGGAGCAAUGAGAGAGGCAAGGUAAAGCAGAGUUUCUAUACCUGAGAAGAUGAUAUAAGAAAACAAGCUGCAGGUUCACCCAGGGGCAGCCCUUAGCUCUGGUAUAAGGAGAAACUGUAUGGUUUUCACCAGAGCCUAAAGGAAACCAUGUAUCCAAAAAAGGAACAAAUUGGUUCUAUGCAGGACAGAAAACCUUUGGAGUCAAUAGCAGGCAGCAUGAAUGUCUAGCUGUAAAUGUAGACACUGAUUUAUCAGAGAUAUAGUGGAAAGAAGAGAGUUAGCAGGGUACUUUACUAACAGGAAAGAAAACAUAUAUGAAAGGUGAACAGAGAUGUAUUUCAUGUUAGAGACACUUGACAAUCUAGCUGCAUUAAUGCCUCAGUGCACAGCACAAAAUUCAAGCUAGAGUUAAAUCCUACUUUCAGCACAAAAGGAGCAAAAAUCCUUCCAGAGAUCAUGUCAGCUGAGGACCUAACUAAAGAAAAGAGUACUUGGAGAGGUCGCUGUAGUUAUAUUAAAACAAUUUUGCUGGUCUCUGUUUCAGGUAGGAAAAUGGAAAGUCUUCUGUACCAGAACCUUUACUAGAAUCUUUUUUUUUUUUUUUUUUUUUUUUUUUUUUUAGAGAAGAAAAAGGAUCAAUAACAAUCUUCUACAGAAAAUGUGUUAGUAGUUGUUCACAAACAUGGAAAAUUGUGUCUAAAAAUCAUCAGGAUUGGAUGGUAUUCAGCCAAGAACUUUAAGGCAACUUGAGGACAAAACAUCUAAAUUACUGGCUACAUAUAGUUAAUGGCAAGGAUAAAUAACUGUGUGCAACCUUUUGCCUAAGUAUUCUUUGAAAGCAGGUUUCUAGAGGGUGGUAAGUAUAAUUCUAAUUUGGAAACUUCAGGCCUGCAAGCCUAAUGUCUGUAUAGUAGAAGACAAUUCAUGGAUACCUGAGUAAACAUAAGCUGCUUUGGUAAAGUCUUCUGAAAAGUAAGGAUCAUCUUUAGAACUUCUAAUAUUUUUUUUCAGGAAGUCAAUGAGCUUGUAGCUAGUGAUGAUCUGUUUGACAUGAUUUUGGUUUUUGAAAAAAAGCUUUGACAAAUUCCUAACGUUAAGCUUGUAAUGUACUUAAGUGGCCAUGGCACAGGAGGGGAAAAAAUUGGCAUAGAUUAGGAAGAAAGUGAAAAAUAGUAAACAGAUUUUUUUAAUAGUGUUUUUGUUUGUUUUGUUAGAUAAAAAUUGCUGGUGGUGGGAGGGCUCUGUGCUAGGGUAAAUGUAUUCACAGAUCACUAGAAAAGUAAGUUAGCAGUAAAAUGACAAAAUGUGAUGAUGGUACUAGGUUUUUCAGGGUAGGUAGGAUGAGAACUGGAACUGAAAAAUUGCCAGAAGAUAUUAGGAAACAGCAUGACUGGACAACAAAAUGGCAGGUCAAAUGCAUUGUAGAUCUAUAUUAAUGCACACCCAGAGAACGAACUCUGUCUUCAUAGGGAAAGACUCUGUGCUGGUCACCAUUACUAGGGAGUGAUACCUGAGAUCUCUGCUAAAAAGAAUUUUCUGACUAGUAUUUAUCUUCGUUAUGUAUUCCCAAAAGAUGUUGCAGAGAUGCAAAACUUUGUGUAGCCUCAAAGGAGUGAUUGAACAAAUACUUAGAAUGAAUGUUUAUUGUUGAUUACUAAACAGACAAACUGCAACAUGCUCAGGAAAUCUCCUGAACCAUAACUGAUCAGAGGACAGGAAAGCAACAGACCAAAAAUUACAAAGAUUUGCUCUGUUGUUACUCUUCUCUAAAAGAGUAGUUAUUCUGUAGUAUUCUUGCUCAUAGCUACUAUCAGAGAUGAAAUAGUCUAGACAGACCCUUGUUUUCAUCCUGUAGGGCUACUCUUUUUAUGUGUUUGUUGUUGUUGUUUGUUUUGUUUUGUUUUGUUUUUAACUUUUGGAAGAUUCUUAGAGUACAUCAAGACAUUGAUGUAACAAUGACAUAGAGACACAAGACAUCUUUACCUUGUCCUGCUGUUUUGGCCCUAGAUGAAGAGAUUAUAGCACACAUUAGUGCCAUACUCUCCCAUGCUUGCCAUACUAACAGUUACUUGCACAAACAAGUGGAUGGCACAGAGCUGCCCACAUCAAAUCUGUGCUGCUUUGGAUCUCUCAGAGUUGAUAAAUGCUCGUGGGUAGGUCAUUUCCAAAUAGUACUGGCUGUUUGAUUUUCAUAUUUUGAUUUUCGUAUUUUAUAUGAAAAGUCAGAUAUGUACUCUUAUUUAUAAGCCUCUUGUAUUAAAAUUCAUUUUUAUUUUUCCCACCAACUUUCAGAAGAGAAAGUCUUGAUGCCAAUAGCUCAAAUAUCUGAAAAUCAGGAAAAAUUAGAAAAAGUAGUAGCUGGUUUCUGAAAGCUAUGGGAUUCCAUAUUUAGACUUUUCUUUGUGUGUGUGAAUCUGGUUUCUACCUUAAUUCUAGGGUGGAUAUUACACUUCGUAAAAAAAAAAAAAAAAAAAAAAAAAAGCAGGUACGUUUUUUUCACUGUUUAUUUGAGCUCCAAGGUAAUAAUCUAUAUUAACUGUUUUAUACCUUUGAGUCAGGAAGGCACUCUAUGGUUGACUGUUAUUGAGAUCUUUCAGAUAAGCUGUACAUUUGCACUCAUUAUAAAUUAUUUCACAAGGAGAAUGAGAUCAGGUUUGAAACAGAAUUUCUUACAACCACAUAAUAACUUAUCAGUCUUAUUGACAAGCAUUUUGCAAAACAAUAGUAUUGUGCACAGCUUAUGUAUGAGCAAAUAGAAUUACUGCUAACAUCUUUUAAGGCACUUGUCACACACUUUCCCCUCAGUCAAACACUGUUAGCUCACUAAUCAAUCUGCUUGUCAAAAAUGCUCUUCUUUGGCAGAAGAGACUGAGAAGUUUGACAAACUGCAUUAAGUUGGUGAUGUUGAUUAAUGCUUUUCAGUUAGUAGCAUUUUGUUGAACACUAUAAAUUAAGAAUUUUGAUGACAGCUGGCUUUUCAUAAAUUACAUACAAGAGGAGCUUAUCAUUGCAAUGAAGCAAUUUAUUUUUCCUUUCCAAGAUUUCUUAUGACUGCUUCAUGUGAGUUUCUGUUGCGUAAAUUCUUUAUUUCUUUUCUUUCAACUGUUAAAAUGUAAAUAGCACACUUUGAACUCAGUAAUCCUUGGUGAAAAAGAAAGAAAGAAGAGAAAGAAGCUUGAUUCUGAAGCUGCUGAUUUUUCUUGAUUUUUUUUCAAAGCCAAAGAACUGUAAGGACAAAACUGAAGAGGUAUAAGCCUUUUCAGUAUUUUUGCAUAUCUCAAAUGUUUGUCAUUUUCUGUAAGAGAUUUGCUAAUGCAAGGAACUCACAUACAAGCAAUAGUCCACAGAAGUUUCUUUAGUGAUUAUUCUAUUAAAUUUAGGAGUUUUUAUUGCUUUUGACUUCAUUCAUUUUUUUUUAUCCAGUACCUGAUUUAGUAGUGCCCUGUGGCAGAGGAUUGGAAUUACAUGAUCUCUUACAACCCAAGUCAGCCUUCUUCUACCACUUUCUCUCUGCCGUAUGAUGUGUGAGAGAUGGGGAAUGGGUGCUAUGGUCAGUCCUUACAAGUUCCUCUCUGCUGCUCCUUCCUCCUUAUGCUUUUCCCCAGCUCCAGCAUGGACUUUCAUGGGCUACAAUCCCUCAGAAUAAAUCUGCUUCAGUGUGGCUCCUUCCCACAGGCUGCAGUCCUUCAGGCUAAAUAUGCUCCGUAGUGGGCUGUCUAUGGGCUUUUACUUUCUUUGGAAAAUAUUCACCUGUUCUGGCAUGAGAUUCUCUAUGGGCUGUAGUAUUGAUAUCUGCUCGAUUUAGGGUUUUCUCCUUGGUCUGCAGGGAAAUAAUCUUUAUUUAAAUUUUCUUUAAAUUGCUUUUAUGCUGAUCAAAUUAGGUGAGAACCUGACGUUUUGUUUUUUUUAACAGAAAAACAAACUACUGGUUUCUGUGUGGCUUCAUUCGCAGUCACAGAAAGUGAGUGAUAGUUUAUCUAACUGAAACUACAGGAGGAUUUUAAUUAAGCAGAAUGUAAUGAUUAGAAUUGCAAUUUUGAAAGAAAACUGGGGCUACCACUCCCAACUAAGCAUGUGUUUUGACUAAUGUUAAAAGCUUUGUUUUUCUAACUCAUAUAGAUUUUAAGACAAUUCACUUAUAAAAGGAGAAAGGAGACAAGAAAGAAAGAAAGGCAGUGGGAUGCCAGUGCUUCCUUAGUUUUCCUGAACUCACCCAUGCAGUGGUUUUCCUCCUAAGUACUAAUGAAACCAGAUACUGCUUUACUUCCAAAUGGAACAAUACAAUUAGAAGCCACAUCCAUAAUAGCUUUUGAAACUAUUUUGUUAAUCAGGCACUUCUGCUGCUGAGUCAGCAUGGUAUGCUCACUGUAAAUUCACCACUUACAUAUCCUGAGCAAUGUUUUUAACUUCAGUGUUCAGACUCUGGAAAAGGCUACGGGUGACAGUUCUUCCAUGAAGAAAUGUUUAUGCUGUUGAUAUUUAUUGCUACUUUCUUGUCUUUUCCUUUCUUUUCUUUUUUUUCUCUAGUUGUUAAAUUGUUUUUUUGUUGUUGUUGUUGUUGGUAAAUAUUAUUAUUUGGGAUUUGUAUCUUUAUAUGGAGGAAUGAAAAAAUAAUUAUUUGCUGUGGCAUUUUUAGAAGUAAAUUGAACAUCCUACUGGGAAUAAUGCAAUGUUUUUACUCUAUGCAUUUUGUCACCCUACUAUUUGGAUUUACUUUCAUUCCCACACAGUGUUCCUGGAAUCCCCAAGCAAAAUCUCUAAUGUGUUAGCAUGCUGACCUUUGCUUUGGUUGUAGGCGCAAAUGUUAAUAGAAACAGAAAAAGAGAAGUAAUCGCUUUUAUUUCUCACUCUCUUGUUCAACAAACUAGCAUUUAUAGAAAGAAGAUAUUGUUCAGUUACUAAGUCAACUUGAACACUGAUUUUCCUGAUGUCUGUCAUCUAGGCUACUAACUUUUUAAAGAUGCUUCAUUAGAGAUACUAGACAGGUACCAUUUUCUUAUUUCACAUUGACUAGUUCACAGUAAUGGCUGUGAAGCUAGAUUAAACCCAGCAUUUUAUAGGUAAAAAUCUGGUUUACAGUCAUUAGUUAUAUUACCUCCAGUUCCCUGGAAUUCUGUAGUACUCUCCAACUGCUUUUCAAGUGUAGGGUAAAAUGAAAGGGAAUUAAGAGCAAAUGAUACAUGUAAUUAAGGCCCCAUUGUGAUUACUAUUUUAAUUCUGUGAUGGGGGAAAAUAAUGUAGAUAGCCAAGUCUGAAAAUUAGGUUAUUAAGCUUUCUGUUUAGUUUAGAUUUUUCUCUUUAUUUUUAAUUUAGCUACAAAAAUGUUAUUGUUCUGUUUCUAUUAUUGCCAUUGUUUUUAACUUUCUUCCUUAAUUCAUUCUUAUCCUUCUAAUCUGCCCUAGAGGUGUACCAUUCAUGAUUUUUAUAUUCUGAAAACUACAAAUUGCUGUAAUUUCCUUCACAGUGCUACAUAUUACCCUAGUGAAGUAACCCAAGCUGAGUGCAUUGCUGUAAAGGGUUUUCUUUGAUUUUUUUCUGUGCUCUUUUUAGAGACUUGGCACUGAAGUGGGGAACCAUUCUAAAAAAAAACAAAAAUAAAACCAACUAACCAAACAAAAAAAACCUACAUGGACUACAUGGACCUUGUUUUGAUACCAAGAAUGGCAUUAAUCUUUAUGCAGAUAUAAAUGGAAGUUAGCCAGCAUAUUUCAAUAUACUCUAUGGUUUUGAACUGACGUGGUGUUAGAAACUGAAAUAUAUGACCUAAAGGAUAUUUUUUCAAAACAAGCAGAAGGCCAACAUUUAUGCUAUUCCUGACUACUUGAGACCACCAAAUCCCAUACAGUUAGUCAUGAAUUAGGUGUUCUCUACAGUCUCUGUAGUCUCUCAACAUGAGAGACAAAGAUGGUAAGGCUUCAGCCUUUUCUAGCAGGUCUUCCAUUGUAUUUUUUUAAUGAGUUUGUUUGAAAACAGGAUGAACAGAGUGGAUGAGUUCAGAAAGGGAUAAGAGUAGUGCAUGUCAAAAUGCCUGAGUUUUAUAUGUCAAAGAAUAAAAGAAAGGAAACUUAGGGACAAACCAAGAAAGAAGAUAUAAGAAUUUUAGGUCUAGUAAAGAAAGCAGUGGAGAGAGCUAAACAUAUUUGACCUGGGUGUUGCAGAAGCCCUGUCUCAUUUUGGAAGAGAGCUGAGAGUGAUACAAUACACAAGAAACCUACUGAAACAUUUAAAAUUAGCUAUGAUGAAGAUACUUCUGAAGGCAUCGGUACUAAUGUGCUUGAAUUUCAGAGGCUAUUCUAUAGAGUCUGUCCUAGUUUCAGCUGGGAUGGAAUUGCUUUCUUCAGAGUACUUGGUAUGAUGCUACGUUUUGGUUUUAGGAGAAAAACAGUGUUGAUAACACACUGAUGUUUACUGUUUUUGCUAAGCGGCGCUUAGCUGAGCCGAGACCAUUCACAGCUAAAGGAGGCCCAAGGAGCUGUGAGGGAACAGAAUUAAGACAGCUGACUUAAACUGGUCAAAUGGAUGUUCCAUGCCAUAUGGCAUCAUGCAGAAGGAGUUUUGAAAAGAGUUAGGGUUCUCUUUUCCACUGCUUGGGGGCCUGGUUGGUCAUUGGUUGGGGGGUGGGGAACAAUUCCUUGUGUAACAAUUGUUACAUACAUUCAUAUAUAUAUAUAUAUUUGUUGCAACUAUAAUCCUUUUCUUCUUCUCUAUUUUAGUAAAUAAAAGUUCUACCUUUUUUUUUUUUUUUUUUUUUUUUUUUUCCUGAUUCUCUCCCUUAUCCCACUGGGAAGCUGGGGAGUGAGCAAACGACUGUGUGGUGCUCAUCCACCUGCUGAGUUAAACCACAGUAGAGUCGUUGGCUUUUAACUGUUUUAUGCUAUAGUAGUCUUAAUGAUAUGAUGCAUUCCCUGAGCAGGCAGAAUUUCAUUCAUCUGAGGAGAGCUCCUUGGGAUGUCUCUGAGGUAUUUCAAGGAAGUACUAAUGUUGAAAUGUUGGAUGUGUUCAUUCUGCAUUAUGAUGAAUUUAAUUUUAGUGAACACAGAGGCCUCUGCCCUGUUAAUUUAUAUAUAAAUACAGAAAUUAUAGAAGGGCCCAGAGGAACACAGUGCCACUAAUGCAGAAGUGUGUUAGAUAUUUAAAAUAUGUGCUUCAAUUCCUGCCAGCUGGCCUUUGCACACUAUGUGCACCAAAUAACCCAGUAGCUGUCCCUGUGGAACAUAAUUUCUAAUUUUAAGUUUUAUUGAUUAUUCUUUUGGAACCUGUUACGUAAUUUCUCUAUAGACCCAGACUCCAUAAAAGAAGUCUAUGCAUUCAUUAAUACUCCAAAAAUAUGUAUCAGACACUUUCAUGUUAUACUAAGCCCAAAUGCAGUUUAUGUAAAAGCAUACAUUUAAAACCAAAACUGCGAAAACAUGUAUUCUACUGGAGUACCUACAUUAUUCCUUGAUUGGACAUAUCCUUUAAAUAAGACUUUCCCCCUUUCAUUUAAACUGAAUUCUCAGAGAAUCCAGAAUGAGAUAAAAUAUACUCAGUAAUAAAAAUAAUCAUUCAAGUGUUGAUGCAUGUCAGGAUUCUAUUAUGAUGAGUUAUUAAGGUAUCUUAAUAUGCAGGAUGAGAUUAGUGACUUCAUUCACAAUUGAAUUUUUAGUUGUUGAGGUCAAUAUUGUUAUAUAUGUUGGUUUGGCUUAUUUUCAAGCUUUCGAGUAUGAGAGGAAAUAAUUUUUUCCUAUUUAAAAAAUAAACCUUCCUUCCUUGAUAAUGGAAGGAAGCUUGUAGGCUGAAGAAAUUUCUAGAUGUACCACACAUUAUCUUUUUUUUUUCCAUAAAAAAAAAAAAUAUAAUUUCUCACUGAAACAAUUUAAAGGUCUGAAGAUGUAACUUUCAGAUCAAAUAAAUGUCUCAUAGCAAUUUCCCAAUUUAAUAUGAAAUGGAAAAGUGACCUCCAAGGUUAAAGGAGUAUAUGUAUGGGGUGUUAUAUGGCUCUUAGAAACAGCCAAAAAUCCUCCCAGGAAACAGAUUCCAGAGAAUGCCACAGUCAUUAACUUAGGUAAGAGCUCAAUCCAGAUAGUUUAAGUAGUUUAAUGAGGCCAAAGGGAUUAGAUAACAGAAGUUAUUUUAGUAUUACCAAUCAUCUGUAACUAAAGGUUUCCUCAGAAAAGCUUUAUUGCGUAGGAAAAGGCAGGCCAACAGGUAGGUUAUAUCUCUCUGAAGAAAUCAUGGUGAUAGGAGGAGAAAGAUUCAUCAUGAAUUAUUAUGGUGGUUAAACCAAAUUCUCUCUUUUGACUGCAUACAAAUUAGACAUUUCCAUGGUUUCAAUGGUCCUUUAAGUCCUUAAUAAAUGUUAACAUAAUAAUGAGAUUACAAGUAUGAUUUUAAAAACUGAGUUUUUCCCUUACACUGUUCCAAGUUUUUUGGAGAUGGAUUCAAAUAUUUUGUAUAUUGCCUGUACCCUAAAAUAUCACUUCGAGACUUCAUGCUGUCGUCCACAUUUUAAAAGCAAGGAGUUAUAAUGACAGAUCACUUCCAACUCCUACAGGUUUUGAUUUAAUUUAGACUAAUUUUAUUUGCAAGAACCUGUAAACUCCUAUCCAUUUGUGCAAAUCUGACCGUUUGGCUUAUUUGUGUGUCCAUAUUUUCCUCAGAUUCUGAGCAACAUGCUGCAAGAGUUAUAUUUUGGCAUACAGGAAUUUUAGAUUUGGGGAAAACAUACAACUUCUUAGCAUUGCAUUCACCACAUUCUUUUCUCUACUGCACUUUUGAAGUUAAAAAUAUAUGAAUGAAGUUUUGUAUUUUUUUUCCCUUCUCUCCCUCUUUUCCCUAUGGCAGAUGUGUUAAUCUACCUGUGGAAUCAGAAGUAAAUUUUACAGCAUUUUUCUGAAGGUUCCUCUUGAAGAAGUCUUGUACAGGAGACUAAAGCUUCCACAGGAAGGAUCAUGAAUUUGUUACGUGGUAAUGGAAAUUAUUAUACAUGCUGCAUGGUGAUAUAGAUGUGAAAUGGGUAUUGUGUUAUUUUCUGAAGUCUUAGUGUUUUCCUUCUGUUCCAGUUCUUAGUGAUCCAUUUUGCUCAUCUAGUAGAGCAGUACAGCAUUUAUUAUCUACAUACAAAAGAAGAUGUAGAUUUAGAACUUUAUUCUGUCAAGCAAUUACUACUUUUAUGUUAAAUAGAGCUGUGCAGAAAUAAUGAAUGCUUUUAAAGUGUUAUUAUGGAAGCCCAGUUUGAUAAUGGAAAAGCUGAUUCAGGAUAGUUCAGAUUUGGAAGUCAGUUUGGGUAUGUCUUAUGGUAUGCAUGCAACAGGAGCAUCAGAGUUCUUCCUCCUCACACUGUCCAAUUUAUUUUGUAUUUAUUUCAUGAAUGGAGUGACAAGCAAAGUGAGGAUGCCCCUUUUUCCCUUUUCCCAGUUUUAGCGCGAUACUGCAUUUUCUGCACAGUGUUAUCUAGCUUCAUCUCUCCACUUACUGAGAGAAACCAAAGCUUUUGGCUCUGUUCUUGCUGUUUCUUUGUAAAGAUGUAGUGCUUUUGGUGCAGCAUUUCUUCUUUGAACUGGCAUUUCCCUUCUCCUCCAGGGAAAUGCUGUUGGGCUGACCUAUUCAACUGAUGUACCCAAAUGCUGGCUGAGUGCAUCCCAUAUCAAGUGCUUGACAUUAUUUGGUGACUUGCUCAUUCCCUUUGUGCUACUGGGUCUACUGUGGGAUUCUCAUAUGGAUUUAUAAAGCCAUCAAUUUGUUAGGCCGUGCUAUCUCCCUGGUGAAUCUCUUUCCCAGAUAGCAUUGAUUAUCCAACACUUGGUGUUUUGAGGUUUCUCAAAAUAAAGUUAUAUUUCUUGAAACUUUUCUCAAAACAAGCUGGGUGGAGUUUCACUAUUCACAUAUUCACUACAGAAGAAAUUUCUUCCACACUUUUAACCAUGUAUUUUUUCUUUCUUUUUUUUUCUUCUAAUACUAAAGUCCCAAAGGUGAAGCUUGUGUUGGGUAGAAAAGUGACAUCCUGGUCAAAAUUGGGAAGUUUAACUUAAAGCUUUACCCGUGCAUACAUAAUAAGUUAGUCUUUUUUUUUUUUAAUAGCUUGCAAGCUAUGUUUCAGCAUUACAAAAUUGGCAUUUCAGAAUUGCAAAUGAAAGCAGUCCAGUUGAAAUAUCCAUUACAGAAUGUGGCAUAAUGUAUGGCUUCCAAAAUAAAGAAUAUGAUGUGGAAAAUAUCUUUAUAUAUUCAGGCAUCCUGCAUCACCAACAGGCAUCCAAAGUUGGUCCAGGUAAGAAUAGCAAUAAAAAAUUGGUGUUUAUAGGAUCUGUGUAAGCAGAAACAAGGAGUGAUGAGGGUUUGUUCAGGGAUCACUAGAAGUAUCAAGUGAUGUAUCAAGCAUCAAGAAGGUGAUAGGACAGCUAAGAAAACAGCUCACAAAACCAUUUUUUUUUUUUGUGUGUGUGUGUGAAAUUUAAGUACUCACUGUUUGUAUCAAGGAAGAAAUAGACUUCUGAGUGAUAAUCUUUGUAAUGCAGUAAAUUUGGAAUUAGACAUAGAGGAGAAAUGAUGUUGUAAAAUGCUAGUGGGACAUUAUUCAGGAUGAAAUAUUAAAGUUUACAAAACCAGAGCCAAAACUGAGUUCUUUUAUGCAGAAAGAGAAAAGCUAAGUUUUAUGUUCCUGCAGUUUAGCCCUUAUUGGUAUUUAAUUAUAUGAAACUAUUACAGGAUUUUUUACCAGCUGCAGACUUCAUGUUUAUUUACUGUGAUAGAACUGUGAUAGUGUCUAAGAACCUCCAAGUAUGUAUUAGGAGAUGACAGUAUUGAACAGAAUGAUUGUAAUUUUAAUCAGCUACAAAAUCUUUGAGUGUAAUACACCUUCUCCACAAAUGAUUAAGUGGAGCCAUGGGUAAAUAUAAAUUGUUACCACAUGUAGUUACUACAAUUGACAGUUGCUAUAUACUGGAAAAUAUUCUUACCUAGAGAAAUAAUUUUAGGUUUUUUUAGAAUUCUUUUUACCAUGAAAAAUCUCAUUUUCUUGGUAUUAACAUUAUUGAAUAAUAUGCAUUUUCAUCAGUGAUUAACAAGAGCACUUCAUUUUAUGGUGUGACAAUUGUGCAUGGCCGUUCAGGACGUGGCUUGACUUUCACAUCACUAUCGCCACUACUGAAAUACAUCACCCACUGACUCACUGUGCUCACAUCCCCUGUUUGGUGUCUAGAAACAUUCAGAAAGCAUCAGCAAAUGUCAGUGGGUGCCAUUUUUUCUACAUGGAGGAAUUUAAUCACGCAUCUUUCCCUUGCAUGCACUUUCAUGUCAGACUGCACCUCUGCUGCCAUCUAUCGCACAGCAACAUCACAUAGUGGAAUAUUUGCCGUGAAGUUCAACUUCUACUGCCUUACCAUCAACAUCCUUCUCUGACAUCAUGAGCCAACAUAAUAAAAUAGCAGGCGUAAGUUUUGCAGUAGCCCUUGUAUAUUGUGAGGAUCAUUAAAUUCCUUUUUCAUUAGAUACGACUUUGCUGUCUUUAACACUAGGAUAAACAUUUUCCAAAAUAGUGCCGCUUUCUUCUUCUAGUUCUUCCUUAAAUUUUUCAUUGCUUCAAAAUUCUUCAGCUAUGUCAGAGGAUACGUUUAUAGGAAGAAUGUAUUGUUCCAGGCAUUUCUGAGACAAAGAAAAUGCUCCUAGCCUUUAGUCUUAAAGGAGUUCUGAUAGCAGAUUCCUAGAUAGAUACAUUGCAGUAUCUAAAGGGCGGGGGCGGGGGUGUUAGAAAGAAGAGGAUAGAUUCUUCAGCAGGGUCUAUGAUGAUAGGACAAGGGGAAAUGGUUUCUAACUAAAAUAGGGGAGAUUUAGAUUGGAUAUAAGAUUUUUUGGGUUUUUUUACAGUAAGGUUGGUGAGGCAGUGCAACAGGUUGCCAAGAGAUAUGGUGAAUGCCCUAUCCCUGGAAACUCUCAAGAUGGGGCUGGAUGGGGCUCUGAGCAACCUGAUCUGGCUGUAGGUGUCUUUGCUUAUUGCAGGACAGUUAGACUAGGUGACUUUUAAAGAUCCCUUCCAACUCAAAUGAUUCUAUGGUUCUAUGAAAACCUUUCCUAUAUCUUUUUUCCCUCAGGGAUAUGAAUGUUGUGUACUUAUAUGUUCUAUGAGUGUUCCCUAACUCCGUUUUUUUUGUAAAGUCUUUUCGUUUUCAUUAGUUUUUAUCUGUAGGUGUAGUAAAAAUAUAUAGUACAAAAGCACAACUGAACAUGCAUAUACGCUGAAAAAAACCCAAAACAUAAACUGUGUUCCCAGCUGAUUAAUAUAGCAGAGUGAAAAGCAUAAAAUGGCACUGAUGCUUAUGAAUGGUGCUGGGAAAAUAAGCUGCAACUGAGCAAUAGCCAUUUCCCGCAAGAUAACAACCUCCUGUUUCCGUGAUGUGAUAAAGUCAGAGUACCUCAUGCUUAUUCUCUGUGUUUUUAUUUUCAUCACAUCAGUACCACCUCGUCUGAAAUUAAUUUAAUCACAGAAGAAAAAAAAAAAAAAAAGACAAGUAAAUAAAAUGAUUUAAAAUUUUUAUAUAAUUAAAGAGAGUGUUAGGAGUUCCAUGGUGAGGUACUUAUCAUAAUAGAUAACCAUCAUUACACCUGCUGUCAUUAUAACAUAUUUUAAGUGUAUAAUCAUAUUUCCUUUAAAAGUCAUGUACUAAUUUUUUAUUUUUUUUUUUACAAACAUAUAGUUGUCAUCUUUCUUAUAUGUAAGACUGAAUUUAUUUUAGUGAGUUCUUAUGUGAACUCUUGCUGAUCAUGUACGAUCAAUGCAAUUUUGGUUUUAUUUUCUAUGCCAGCAUAUUUUUCUUCCACACUUCAAAGAAAUCAUUCUGUGCCUCUGCAGCAGGAUUGGAGAUGAUGAGCCAGUACAGAUAUGGAAAAAUUGAAUUGAAUUUUCAAAGUAUACCUUGAAGAGAAGCACAAUUAUGUGAAGCAAUGCAUUAUUGCAGUUCUAUGAAUGUUCUCGAUGUUGUGUUGUGUGCUCCUCAGAGAGUUUUGAAACUGAUAAGAUCUAAUGAAGAAAUGAAAUUGAAGAACUGUGGACAGGUGGUAAUCACAGGCAUAGUAUUUUGGAAGGAUUACAGAGGUGACCUGUGACUGGAAAGUUAAAUUAGUAGACUGAAAUCCAGGAUAUAUGUAAGGUCUUCAAGAUAAUUAUUUUAAGGAACAAUAAACAUUUUAAAUAAAAGUAAGUUAUACAUUCUGCUUUCAGAGUGCAGAGUAACUAUAAGGACCUAUUGUAUCUUAGAAGCUGAAACCUAUAGCAUUAUGGAUUAUUUGUUUUCUCUGAGACAGGUUAAUUAACAUAUAAGAAAAGGUUAUCCAUUUGAGAGAUGCUCAUAUAUAAUGUUUUUCUUUCUGUAAUCUAAAUGGAGCUGAUUUGAAAAUGAUUAUCUUCAUAAACAGAAGCUCAGACGUACAGUGAAAGGGCAUUCUUGACAAACAGCACCAGUGGUGUUGGCAAAAUCGGAAGAAACUGUGUUUGCUAAUGGACUAAUUCUGCAGAGGCAGCAAAGAGCAGAGAGAACUCACUUUUGUGAACUCAACAAAAUAAAGAAAGGCUUGCAUGGUUUAAAUAACGCUGCAGUGGGUUAAUUAAAAAUAGAUAUGCAAUAUCCAGCCAAUUCCUUGUAUCUAAUUCUCCUCCAAGUUCAAACUAAUGUUGAAAUAAUCAUUUUUUGUAUAAACGUGUUGAUUAAAUGCUGGAACCUAAUUUAUAAGAUAAAGGAGUUAGGAAAAGUUAGCAGUUAAUGAUGGCAAACACUUACUUCAGUGAUAAUCUCUGUUAACAGAGAAGAUACUGUGAAUUUUGAAGAAUUUGACAAGCAAAGUGGGGCUUCAGGUGCCUCCAUUUUUGGUAUCUCACUUCAAUCUCAGGUUUGGGAAUUAAAAAGAAAUAGAUGAAGUUUCAGAAAACUGUGGUGAUAUAAUCACAGGAAUACAAAGUCCAAGAAGGAAUUUCCUUUUUUUUUUUUUUUUUUUUUUUUGUUCGGUGUUAAAAUAUGUGAUAAACUCUAAUUUGUCCUUUAGAAUAUCUAUGCAAUGCUUCUGGAUUCUGAACCUGUGGAUCAGACACCCAUUCAGAUCUGUAUGCAGAAAUGACGUGUGUUCAAACCUUUUGAAGGGAAUUGGAUGGAGCAGGCUGCACCAAGCUAUCAUCUCCAUAGGAAAAAAUAUAUCUGAUAUGCCACAAUGAUUGAUAAAAUAUCAUGCUGAGAUGCAUAAGAAUCAAUGUCAUUGAUUCUUAAUGACAGCAAAGAUAUCCAGGAAAAAGAACUAGUAGGACAAAAUAUUAUGACAUGUACAUUAUUUAUACUUGUAUAAAAUACGGUCUUGACAGUAGGAGAACAGCUUAAUAAAGAAACAGCUUUUCUGUAACCUGUAAAGCAGACAGCCUUCUUGCCUAGCAAGAGUAUCUGGUAGCCAGCACCUCUACUACAACUUUCCUGUGUAAUUUUUCUUAGCUUCCAAGAACAAUAACUGUUGUUAUUCUGCAUCUUUUUGAAGGCUGUUACAAAGAGCAGAUAAAAGUAAAAAUAAAAAUGUGGUUUUAAUGUGGCAGACUGAACCUGUCUGAUUUAUGGCAGUUUGGAGUGUUCACUUCAUGUGCAAAAGGUGCAAGCUAAAUAUUAUCUGCCUUUUUGCAGAGCAUUUAAUUCAAUACUGGGAAAGCAGCAGUUGGCAGUCUGAUUCUCCUUACCAUAUGAUGACUAUUUCCCUCAAAUCAAAAUCAAGCUGCCAGUUCUAGAGACUCUUCUCAAAGCAAAUAGCGUCAAUAAAAGAAGUGUGGAGAAGUGAUAUGAAUAGCAGGUGUGCCAGAUCAGCCACAUCAUCAUCUGUGGGUAGGUGCUUUUUGGUUUUUGUCGCACUCUCCUUUGUUUGACCUCUGGUGUCAGAGGACUUGGUUGGCAUCUCUGCCUCGCUAAUCAUCUCUGACAUGUGGCUGGCACUGGCAAAUUUACUCAAAAGGAUGUGCCUGCUGUAUUCUGCAUUGGCCUUCACCUGUUGGAGGCAGAUAAGUGCUGUAUAUUUUGAAUCGGGUAUAAAAAUGUAAUGAAUACUUCGUAUACUGCUUUGCUUUGUAACUCUGGUUCACGAGUUCUGUCUUCUUCAGACCAAUACAAGUACUGCAGUAAGUCAGUAAGUCAGUGCUCUUUCAAAUAGCACUUCUUCCCUUCUCAAGAUAAACAAAACAUGUGAUUAGAUUUGGAAGGCAUCAACAUUUUAGUGUAUCCAGGAGUUUGUUUCUUUUUCUUUUUUUUUUUUUUCCCUACAGAAAUAUUCACAUUUGGACUUCAGGGGUGAAAUCCAGGACUCUUUGAAAUCAAUAUAUUUUCACAGAUAUUUUAACAGAGAUGAGAAUUUUCUGCUAAUCUUUCUUCUUUCAGCUACUUCUUCUCAGAAGAGUUACAUACAGACAGAUUUUUUGUACGUACUUUUUUUUUUUUUUUUUUUUGAGUUGGCUACAAGUUAGAAAAUCCCCUACAGCUAAAGUUCAGGCUGAGGAAACAAGUGAUUUUUAUGGAUUAUCUAGUGAGUUUAGUCAAGGAUGCCUGUGCUUGUGUCCUGUGGGAGAAGCUUGUAAUAAGCCUUGAUAAAUCAGUACUCAUAUGCAUGCAUCUUCCCUUUUGCCUGCUAAGACUAAACAGAGCUAUUUCUCAAUUCCCUUUCUGCUAGUGAAUCACAUCAAAGAUUUGAAAGGGUGAUGGGGUUUUCUUAUUCAAAUGAUGUAUUCAUUGACUUUCUUGAUUAGUGUCUUUACAUUUUAUCAAUGAGCACUUCUCUGAAUUUCAAUUACAUGUUUCCAUUGAAGAAACUGUGAGGGGGAAAAAAGUGGUUUCAGUAAUGAUGGUAGUCAGUUGAAAAAGUGCUGUGCAGGUUGACUGUCAAACAUAUUAAUACUUGCUUUAACAAAAUGUUUAAUUUUUAAAAUAUUUUGUUGUUAUGCUUUUAUUUCCAGAAGUGUGAACAUGCACUGGCAGAUCCUUAUUCUUUCUGUGCUCAGUUAUAAAUGUGGUAGGACAUUUAUGUUCAAAAAACUACCUACAGCCUAAUUGCAGAAGAAAGGAACGCUGCAGGUCCUGCCUGAGAGGUUGAGCUGAACACUUUUUUUUUCUGGCUUACUGGUCUGGAAGAGAUUCAGAUAAGCUGAAAUCUUUUCAUGGCGCAAACUUUUGAAAGUAUAGAUCUUCCUUUCCAACUAACAUUAUGCAAGGACUGAAUCGUUGGCAUUCUGAGCAUUUGAGUUACUAGUUGCUAGUGCCACCUGCAACUUUGGCCAAAAGAUAAGAAGGUGUUUGCUUGUUUAUAUAUCAGAAAAGGAUUUAAUGGGGAUAAGUUUAAUAUGCAGUAUUACACUUUUCAUUGUUUCUAAUUAAAUCACAAAUACAAUCUGCAUAUUUUGGUGAGAAUACAGUAUUUUCUAACAGAUUUUGGAUAAAAUGACCUAAAACAAUCACAGCAAUAUGAAGGCUAGUGGAGAAGUGGGUGGAGAAUCAACAUAAAAAAAUAAUUGUUUCAGUGACGUUUCUAAUGUCUGAUAUGGCAUUUCAUUUUCUCAUUUAGUGUGUAUAGAUCUUAGGAUUUUUAGUUAAAUGAAUCUAUAGUAGGUUGGCUGUUGAGCAUGGCUUGAUAUCUUUUCUAGAGGACAAAUACAGGGAAAAAAAUACCUGUGAAUGUUAUCCAGAGAUAUUUGAUCACAUUCUUAAGAAGCUGGCUGGAAUCUUAGAAAAACAUGUUUCCUCAAUGCUCUUCAUGAGUUAAGUUGCCCUGCAGAAGAACUUCUGCUAUUUCUGUUGGGGAUUGAGAGUGUCUUUAUUUCCUUGUCAGUUGGAAACUGUUUUACUGUAUAAUUAUAAUCAUAUGUUGGAGCACACAAAUAUAAAGCUUUGAAAUUAUUAUUGUGAGUUUUAGUCUAAGAAAUUUAUGUUCACAAUAAAGAUGACUUUUUUUUAUAUGCAUAAAACAACUUUGGGGCAAUUUUCUCCCUAGGAAUGCUCCAUAGUUUUGUUGCUCAAUAGCCUCCUGGGAUGUAAAAAAAAGGCUAAAAAUAAAUGCUGUUUCCCGUCAGACAGAAAAUGAGCAUUCUGCAUAACUGUUUCCAAGGUGAGUACUCUCUUCAUGGGAUAGGCAUCUGUGCUUCUGUGUCUUUUCUGGUGUAGUAUUAACAGCUCUAGAGGGCGAGACACACUAGCAAAGAUUAAAAACAAACAAACAACAACAAAAAAACUUGCAGACAUUUAUUCAUUUCUUAACUAGCAUGUCCACUGAGGUUUGGGAAGCCUGUAGGAAUCUCCAUGGAAGUCAACCAGCCUACCUUCAGGCUAUGAAUUUUGGUUGGUGAUGCUUACUCUUUGCAGUUUUAGUUUUCAUAGAAUCACCAAGGUUGGAAAAGAUCCCACAGGAUCACCCAGUCCAACCAUCCACCCAUCACCAAUAGUCCUCAUUAAACCAUGCCCCUCAACACAAUGAUCAAACAUUCCUUGAAAACCUCCACGGUUGGUGACUCCACCACCUCCCUAAGCAGUUUUUGAUGCUUCUUUUUAAUUCCUAUUUAUAAAAUAGAGGAAAACAACACUUCUGUUUUAGGACUGUUGUGAAAAUAAAUACAUUAAAGCUUGUAUAUUCAUAUACUAAUGUAGUUAUGCAUAUCUAAAUAAAGUAGGAAUGAGUCACCAACUUUGAAUUCUGUAUGACUGUUAUUUAGCCUUAUACAUUCAAGCUAACCAGUGAGAAGAAAGUCCAGACUACUAAUUUGCCAUGAGGGAAUAGCAUAUCUCUGAAUCAAACAGAUUCUUUAGCUGGUGUAGGUACGGAUUUGGGGCUAGGAACAUUAAUAGCAAUUCAGUAAGGCACAUGGCAAUUGUAAUUAUUUUAUGCUAUAAAAAGAUACAAGUGACCCUGAAAAUCCUAUUAUGAACCACAAAAUUAAUGGCAAGGCUAAAAUAUUAUAGUUUUAUGUGAACCAUUUCAGUUAAUUUCAGAUUUUAUAUAUAUAUAUAUAUUUAAGUCCAUGAUCAUCUUCAGAAUGUAGAAUGAAUUUUAUAUUUUUCCCUCAGUUUGAGGGAUUGUUUCCUGAAGUUUAGAUUAUUAUGAGCCAUGUUAUCAAUAAAAUCUCCCUUCCCUCCAUACACAGCUAAUUCUACUUCAGUAGAUCAGUCUGUAUGAAUGAGGCAACAGACUGUAUCAUUUUUGUUGUUUAGAUACUGAGAGGCAAAUAUACUUCAUCUCUAGAAUUGGAUCUCUCUUUCUUUCAUUAAUAGUAUUGUAACUAUAAAAUAGAUUUCAUGGGACAACUGGAGUUUGAAAGUAUAGAAAAAAGUAGAGUGGAAUAAGGAAAAGAAUUAAUUAAUAUGUGGUCGUAUUACUUAUUUCACUUAUAUAUUUAUUGCUACAGUAAUAAGGCAUUAGCACUUUUAAUAGAGUAGAUCGUUAUUUACCUUUCAUAAUUUUUGAGUUUGUGUAUGUGUGCAGGAGUUUGUCAGAGUGCUACACAGAGCUUAACUUUUAUAUUUGCAUUUCUUAACAGUGUCAGUUUAUGUUCUGCCACCAGGGAUUGCCUCAUCCCAUGUAAUCCAGAAUGUCUAUAGAUUGAUCUCUGUGCCUGAGGAAUAUGAAGAAAUUCCCCCAUACUCUGUAAUUUCUUGAACAUUGAAUGCAUUGGGAUCAGACCACACAUAGUGAUUUUUAUCUUUGAAGUAUUUCUUUUUUUUUUGUUUUAUUUUUUAUUUUUUUAUUUUUUGCAUUGAAAGACUCCAACCAUCUCUACUAUUGUUUAUAAUAUGAAAGUAAUUAAAAUUCUAUUUUAUCACUUAAUCACCGAAAUGGUUAACUUACAUUAUUGCUGUCUCCCAGUCUAUGCCAUUGUUCUUUUCCAGGAGAAGAAAAUUCUACAAAGCAGCAGAAAGGAAGUGCAAUUCAUUAUGCACGGAGCUUUCUUUAUCUUAAUCAGUUCUGGUAAUUUACGUAAGAGGUUUUGUCAUUAACUGCGUUUUCUUUGAAGAAAUCCCUCCCAUAGCCUAAUCUAGUUUGCCACUUAUUUAAAUGCCUGUGAUGGUAAAACAGAACUACUUUCUUCAGAGUGUUUGAAAAUUAUUAGAAACUCUAGUCUGAAUGUGUGUAUAUAUAUACUUUCGUCAGACAAAAUAUUAUUGUAAGUGAAUGCUAUGUUGUCAUCUUCUAAUUAGACUGGUCUAUUAGUCAAAUUUAAGUUUCAAGUGGACUGGAGGAUGGAGAAGUGUAUGUAAUGGGAGGCACAUAAUAACCUUGUUAACCACUAAAAUGUCUUUCAGGAUUGAGCACUGCAAGGAGACUGACUACAUGCAUGAGAGCUGCUCUGAUAGUAAUGCCUCCUAUUUUAUUAUGUUAGCUCAUAAUAUCAGAAGUGGUUGGUGGUAUGGCAGUAGAAGUUGAACCUUCCUACCAAUAUUUUGUUAGAUUCUGUUGCAAUGUGACAGAUGACAGCAGAGGGAGAGUGAGACAAAUUGGCUUUUGACAUGGAAGUGCGUAUGAAGCAAAAAUAUGUCAUUGAAUUCCUCCAUAGGGAGAAAAUGUCACCCAGUGAUGUUCACUGAAGUUUGCUGAAUGUUUAUGGAGACCAUUGAAUGUCAGCACACCAAGGUAGUGGGUGGUGCGUUUGAAUAGUGGUGACAGUGGAUCAGCUCCACUGGUGCAGAUUAUUAUGAGCGCAGCAUGCAUGCUCUUGUUCAUCAUUAUUGAAAAUGUAAAGCUAAUGGUAGCGAUUAUGUUGAAAAAUAGUGUUUUGUAGCUGAGAAUUUGCUCUAUCAAAUACUGUUAUCUUUGUUGUAAUUUCCAUGGAAAGAAAUGUAAAUCUGAGAAGAGAGAAGAAAAUCAGCAGGGAAUGUCAAUGUAACCGAAAUCCAGGAGCAUAUCCAGCUGAAGGGAGUUCACAGAUUAAGAUCAAAGAAGAACUGAGUGUUAGAAUAAAAGAUUUCAUUUGAGACUUUUCAAGUAUAAUUUGGAGCAGACCAUCUUGAAUGUCAUCACACAGCACAUACAGGACAACCAAGCUAUCAAAUGAAGCCAGCAUGGGUUUGUGAAAAGCAGAUCCUACCUGACUAUCCUGGCCACCUAUGAUCAGAUAACUUGAUCAGUAGAUGAGAGAAAGGCUAGGGUUAUUGUAUACCUUGAUCUUGGUGAGUGUUUGAUGCUGUUUCUGACAGUAUUUUCCUGGAGGAUCUGCCUGUUUUUGGCUUGCGCAGGUGUAUAUUUUUCUGGGUGUUGAACUGCCUGGAUGGCCAGGCUCAGAGAGUCAUAGUGAAUGAAGUUCAGUCCAAUUGGCAAUGAGUCACCAGCAACUUUUCCCAGGGCAUGGUACUGGGAACAGCUUUAUUUAACAUUUUCAUUAAUGAUUUGGAUGGGGGGUGCAGUGGAAUUGCCAAGUUAUGGCCUGAACCAAUGGUUGAGCACCAGGUGAGAAAGGCAAGACUAACCCAGGGAGCUCAUGUGCAAGCAAUGCACAUGAGUGACUAGAAGGAAAUCAGUCUGGAUCCACCGCUCCUUACUCUCAUUUAAGGGCUAGCAGCUGAGGGAGCACCGUUUCUCUGGAUAGAGGUUGCACUCCUCUUGAGCUGUCGCUGAUUGUUGGAAGGCGUGAGCCAAUUUUCCUUCUUUGCUACCUGCUAUUGUUCUGUAGUGCCUGUAUCCCAUUCAAGCACACUGUUAUUGCCUUCUUUCCCCAUACAGGGGAAUUUAAUGAACCCUCAGAAGGUUCCCUGACAAUACCAAAUUAGGUGGAACCUGCAUGAGAGUUGGCAGGCUAUGCAGAGACAUCUGAAUUAGUAGAUUCAGUGGGCCAAUGAAUUCAAUCAUAUGGUAUUUAAGGAAGGUGAGUUGCUCAGUCCUGCACUUCAGUCAGAAAAACCCUGUGCAGUGAUAUAGGCUGAGGAAAGAGGACUUGGGGAUGCUAGUCAAUAGCUGAACACAAGCCAGCAGCGAGCCCAGGUGGCCAAAGUGACUGAUGAUAUCCUGGCCUACAUUAGAAAUACUGUGGACAGCAGGAUGAGGGAAAUGGUAAUCCCAUUGUACAGCGCUGGUGAGACUACACUUUGAAUACAUUGUUCAGUUUUGGGCCCCUUACUUCAAGAAAGCUGUUGAGUUGUUCAAACAUAUACAGAUAAGUGAAAUGAAGCUGGUAAAGGGAUUAUAAAACAAGAAUCAUGAGGAGCAGCUGAGGGAACUGGGGUUGUUUAGUCUGGGGAAAAUAAAGCUGAGAGUGGAUCUCAUCUCUCUCUACAACUUCCAGAAAGGAGGUGAUGGGUGACAGGAUGUGAAAUAACAAACUUUUAGAAUUUCUUCCCAGAGAGAGUGUUCAAGAACUGGAACAGACUGCCCUGGGAAGUGGUGAAGUCCUCAUCCCUGGAGAUAUUUAAGAGAUGUGUGGAUAUGGUAAUAAAGAACAUGGUUAGAUGAUGGUUAGAUGACUUUGUCGGGUCAGGUUGAUGGAUAUACUUGAUGAUCUUUAAGGUCUUUUCCGACCUAGAUGAUUCUGUCAUACGUGUAUGGGUUCUCAGUACCCUGCAAUUAAUAUAUAUCUUUAGGAGUUGUUUCACCUAGAAUCUUUCUUUCAUCCUCAUCACUGAUUUAAAAAUACAGUGCAAAAAAUAUUUCUCCUUCCUGCUUUUGUCUCUCUCUUAUAUGUAUGUAUUUAUACGCUUGUUGUUGUUUCCUGGUUUUGCUCUGUUGGAGAAUAAGUAAAGUUUAGGGAAUGGAUCUGAUCCAAUGGUUUAAACUUUGCUCCAGUAAAGUCUUUAUUACAUGGUCUAAUUCUAAUUUUUUUUUCCCUUUGCUUUUUACUCUUAGGCACACAUUUGAAUUCUGAACUGGUCUAGGAUCUAGACUUCUUUCUUAACAGCGCAGGUUCAUGUUGAAUUAGAGAUCUCAUAUAUAUCUUAGGUUUUUUUACCUGACAGUUUCAAGUUUUAAGGAUUUUUCUUGCUAUAGAAGGCCCUGGUCAUGAGGCAGUUAUGCUUUUAAAAAGCUGACAUGUACAAGAUCAGACAUAGGACUUCACUGGCCAAAGAAAGCACAUAUUAUCCUAUAAUAAGUUGACUCUAAAUGUUCCACUUUUCCUCCUGAGAUUCUAUUGCCCAGACUCCCUUAUUUCCCCUUUAUCUUCUAAUCUGCUUCAUUGAGUUACACAUCUGUGUAUGUUUACUCCUGUGCAUGUAGUGGUGCAAACCAAUCAAGUGACCACUGAGACAGUAAUACUGCCUCUCAGGUGGUACAUAUAAGUCCACAGAUGUUCUGGGGUACUAACUGCUUCUUCAUAAUUCCACGCAGAAGAAUGGCUUUACAAAAGAGCACAAACAGGUUGAAUUAAUAUUGCCUACUGCUGAUCUGAGUGCCUUCAGUACCCCUUCUCCCAGUAUGAGAUUUAAGUUCCGUCAUUGGAACGGCACUCAUUCAAAAAUUAGACCAUAUAUAGCACAAUGAAACAUUCCUACAACUUGGAACCUUUUCUGAAGCAAAAAUUAUACAAGUAAACUAAAGGCUCAAGGCAAAAAUUAUGACUGAAUGUGAUCUUUUGAGUAAAUAAUGGAUUCUGGUAAUGCAUUAGUUUUCAUUCAGAAAAGCUGCUAAUAUAAUCCUAGUUCCCCAAACAGCAGGCUAAUUGUUGUUCAGUGUUCUUUCUGAUUCCACUUAAAAAUUUCACGGUGGACCUAAUAACAGUAAAAGUUAAGGGGUUUAAUAGGUUGGGUGUUUUUUUUUGUUUGGUUGGUUGGUUGUUUUUUUUUUAAAAGGAAAUCGUCCUUUUGAAAUUAUCUGGAACUAGACUUGAACAAACACUUAAAAUUUUAACAAAGUUAUUCCUUCCAUCUUCCCAUUUUCCUUCUAUUAUGGAAACAUUUUUUUUUAAUGGAAAAAAUUGUGUGUCUCUGUGCAAUUUGGACUACAACAAUGCUGUUCUUAUUGAUGUGCUUUGAGCUCAAUUCACAAUCAAGUGGUGAGAGGGACAGUCUCAAUUGCCACUGAUUUAUAUGUAAAUUGUGAUAAACCAGUACUUUCAAAUAUAAGGCACAAAGGUUCCAUUUUAUAUCUCUCUUUCUCUCUCUCUCUCUCUUUUUUUUUUUAGGUAAGAUUCCAGGAGUAAUUUAAAUGUAGUGAACUUAGUAAAUUCUAAAAUGAUCUCCACAUGAUGAAAUAAUUACUGAUUUUAUGCAAAGAGUAAAAAUGAUACUUAAGAAUACUUAUUAUUUUAAGAGUAUACUGCUGUCUUCAGGACAAAAAGUAAUUGUUUUCAUCAUUGCCUCUGUGGAUUAUAUUGUCCUUAUAAGCAGGUAUUAAAUCAUGCAAAGAGGGGAAGGCUUUUGUUCCUUCGAGAAAACAGAAAACUCUUCAAUAAAUAGCAAAGUGAUUCCUCAGCUGAAUUCAAAAUAUUGAGCUUAUGUAAAAAAAAAUUAUCACAUGAAAAAAAAUCUUUAAUGCUGCAUAAAAGAUUUUGUUCCAUUCUGCAUUGUACUGAAUCAUCAAUAGAGAAAUGGUUCCUUUGUUUUCAGUAGAUGGGGAAUGUUGUGGAUAACUUAUGUGAAAAAUGUAAUACUCCUAUGUCAGUACAACAAAAGAAAAGAAAGGAGUAAAUGUUAUGAGGACUGCUUCAGAAGGGAAUUCUGCUCCAAAGAGGUGAUCUAGAAAGAAAGGAAACAAACUCCUUAGUAGUCAGUCCGUUUAGACAGUGAUGCUCAUUUGUGUGAAGCUUUUUUGUUAUCAUCACAUAUUUCAUACUCAUAUAUUAGGUAAGUCUCUCUGGGAAUUCAAUGUACACAGAACAAAAGAGGAUAUACUUGAUUCAAAGAUAGCUGAAUUUCUCAGGAAGUUCUAAACCUCAGUGGGAUGGCUGCUUGGGAAGUCCUUUUACUGCAGUGCCUUGUGGCCACCAAACCAAGCAGUGAUUGAGCAGCCUUGAAUCCUUGUAAUUAGAAGAAGGAAGCUUAGUGAGAACCAGCUUAGAUGACUUUGUUCAUUUUCCUUAGCUUGUAUAGAACUGCAAGUGUUAAUAUAAUCUAAUAAUAAGAUUGUUUUGGAAAAAAAAAAUCUUGGUUUUAUAUUAAACCACUAAACAAAGGAGUGAAAGAAAAAAUAUAUUGCAAUGUUAUGAACAUCAAAUACUAUCUGAACAAGGAAAUAUUAACAGUUUAUGUGAUAAACUUUAGACAAUACUCUUGCAUCAAUAGCAUCACUGAACUGCUUGUGGGUGGCUGGGGAUAGUUUUUCCAAUAUCCAAUACUAAAAAACCCAUUAUAUUAAAAAAAAAAAAAAAAAGUGAAAAGUGAAUAAGAGCAUAUUGGGUCAUUGGCUUAUUAAUUUUACAACUAGAUGAAACAGUAGAUUUGUUUUACUUUACACAAGCUGUGUUUUUUUUCCUUCCAUGAGCUGAGUGAAUGAGUUUGAUUGGUUCUGUAAGGCUCCGGUUUGAAUUUGGGGGGAUUUUAUGCUUUUCUAAUCUUUAAAUGUAGAGUACUAUAGAAUAUGAUUACCUACCAAUUUCUUAACCAAUAUGUAUUUACUGCUGUCUCUGAGUUUAUAUUAUACUACAAUUUUGGAAGUCUUUUUAUACAUGAUUGUAACUGUUCAUGUCAGAUCUGUCUACAUUCGUAUAUUCAGUGCAUGUACUUGAAGAAUAGCUUAUAGAAAGUAAUUGCAGCCAGUGUUUAUAGGACAUCACAGUUGUGUGAACAGUGCUUAAAAACCUGAAAAAAAUCAGAAAAAAAGAUAGUAUAGAUUAAAAUAUUUUUAGAUUUCAUUUCAAAUAGGAUUAAACAAAAAUUUCAAGUAUUAUCUUUACAACUGUGAAGUUCACCCUAUUCUCAGUGAUGGCAUACUAAAUUUGUCAUGUAACUGUGCCUUAGCUAGCCUGUAGGAUUUAUUUUAGUUAUACAGACUGUCUUGGAAAUACGCAUAGAGGAUGAAGCAGUGACCUAUGGAUUUUAGAAUACUCAGAAAAAUUUUGCAUACUAAUCUUAUUUUUUUUAUAACAAUCUGAAUCUAAUUUACUUGCUGCAAGUGGGGAUGAGUCACAUUAAUUUGUCUUUUUUAACUAGAAAUACCCUACAGCUUGAUCAACACCACUAUCCCGAUUUAUACCAUCAACAUCAUGGAUUGGGUCAGUAUAAGGAAAGGAAAAAAUGAAAGAAAUCAGAAGCAAUUUUAAAACAUCAGAAGAGAAAAAAAAAGUCUUUGAAUAGAUCUGUAAAGACAGCUCAUUAUGUUUAUGAAAAAUCCACAGUUGAUAGUGAUGUACUGAUGAAUAUGACUAUAUAUAUGAAUAUCCACCUCAUCCCUCCUCUUCUGAGUUGUCAUCAAGAAAUAAGAUAUUCUCUCUUACUCUUCUGCCAAAAAACAUCUGGAAUCCUUAGGAAAACAUUGAGGUAUUGAAUCAAAAAGACUCUAUCAGCAUAUUUACUUUAAGCACUCAAAGUCAGUCAUUGACUCAGUUGUAGACUUAAGAUUAUGCAGUUGCUUCAUGUUUUACUAAAAGGUUUAAACAUUAUACUGAAACAGAGGUAAUUACACUGCUUAUAUGCAGUUCUAAUCUACCUUGAGUGUGGGAAAAAAAAUUACUUGUGCAUUUAAAAAUAGUAUUAUAAGAAUUAUUUGUAGGAUUUUUAUGCCUAGGUGCUAGGUGCUCCUAGUGCAGAUUUCACAACUUUUUGGAAACUGUAAGAUUACUAUUUCUUUCUGAGUUGUUUGUCACUCUUAAUAACUACGAGGUAAACAGAAGAAAACACUUCUAUGAAAGCUGCUCUAAUAACUGCUGUAAUGACUACUAACAGAAAUGGCUUCAUUAUUCAUGAGUUGUGCACAGAAUUAGUUUGAGACAUUGAAUGGAUGUGAGGAUCUAUUCAUUUUCUGUUACAAACUCCAUUCUCAGCUACCUGAAAAAAUUAAGGUCAAGAAAAUGGUUCAUCAUGUUUACUCAUUCAAGACAUCACCAAAAUCCAGUUGAUACUAGAACUGGGGACAAACUUACUUUACUAAUUUGUCUUUGUGGGUAAUAUGCAACCAAUCCUUUCCAUAUAAACUACUCCAGAGCCACUAUUAGUAUUUUUACUAGUGUACGGAUAGGAGGAGGUUAGAGAAGCAUAUAUCAUAUGUCUAGGUUAUAUAUAAAGGGACUGGAUAUUGAUUACCUCCAUAUUUUACCUGCUGAUAUAGUCAUCUUUGUGUAAUUUUUGAUAAUUUUACAAGGACACCUUAUUGUUUGUGAGAAGCAAGUUGGAGAGCCUUUCUGUAGUGAUCUGCAUCAGCAUUUAGAAUGCCAUAAUGAGGUUAUAUGUUACACUAUGCUUAUGUGCUUUGCUAUUAAUUUGAAAUAUUCUCCCUGAACAUGAAAUUAAUAGAAGUAAGGAAAAACUAUUGGACCACAAUCUGGAUUAAGCACUUCUUUGUAUCAUAGAACUUCAGAUGCAUGAUUAUUAUGCCAGUAAUCAGAGUAGCAUUGAAUUUAAAAUUGCUGCUUUGUUGCUCUGCAUAUUUUGAUCCAGUAAUUAGGACUGAGAACUGUUACUUCGUUUUACUUUCAGCAUUAGUAACAUUACAGGAUUUCAGAGUAUGCAAAAGAGAAAGGGCAUGAAAAUCAAAGCAAAACUUUCAUUAGAUGAUGAUGCAGUUUUGGAAAUUUAAGGAACUUCAAUUAAGUUUCACACCUUACAGUAUAAUGUAUACCCUAAAUUCUGUAAAACUUAAGCUUAGGUGAAUUAUUUGGAUUUUUGCUGUGACCUUCACUUAAAUGGCUAGUAUUUCUUUCUCUAUCUUUCAGUGCAAUAAUUUUAGACCAUACAAGUGCCAGGUUAACUUUUUUUUACAGGGUAGUAGCUGUGUCUGCAUCAGCAAGUCAUACAUGGAAGAAAUAGAUCAGGAGAUCAAAAUAGCUGGUGGUUGAGACUACUGCCACUAUUAUGUGUACUGCUCUGGGGGCUUAUUUUGAAUUGAUUUAGUCUAGUUUCCUGAUUCAGAUGUCCUCGUCACAUGUGCAGCUCAAAGUCCUUUGAAGAACUAACCUUUUGUUUGGACCCUUAUGAACCCACUACUUGCUAGAUUGCAUUUGAUGUGUGCCUGAUAUAGAGUUUAGUUUCCUCCAAAGAAAAUCUAGCUAGCAUCAGCCUCUCCUCAUUGGGCAAGUGCCCAACUCCCCACCAUAAUGAAUGCCCAUUCCUUAUCAGUGCUGUAUCUUUAUCUCUAUUUUGACAGCAGUUUUCUGACUUUGAGUUCUAUCAUAAUCUUAACAAGCUUCCCAUUAAUUUCUGAAUAGAACAGCAUAUGAAGAUACAGUACUGGAAGUCUGGUGAAAGGAUUAUGGUGUUAGGAAUUAACAGGAAGAAUGAAAACUACUGCACCCACCCAAUACAGAAAAGUACAUACUUCAUUAUCUUAGUAGCUACAUUAUCUGCAAUAUCAAACAUCUUGUUUCGUGUCAAAGGUCAUACCUUGGUGAUGUCUUAUUAGUACAGCCGUCUUUAGCUGGUGUGAGAUAUGUGUUUAUUCACAGUUUGAACAUCACCCCUUCAUUCUCUCCUAUCAUUAGUAACUUAGAGUUUUCAUGUACCCGAUCAACUCUUGACACAAGAUAGGUCUCUAGAAGGAAGAGUGAGUUUUGAACUUUCUGUAAUUAAAUGUACAUUUUUUUAACAUCAGUAAUUGGAAAUCACAAUAGAUUCCAAUCCCCAUGCUAAUAAUUCAUUAUAAAUCUGACAUAUAUGGCGAACAUUUAUAUACCAUAAUUUUAGAGGUAUCUCAACUAGAAAGUUCCUAGCAAUAAUAAAAUAGUAAUAAAAAGACAAAGGCAGACGCAAAAUAGCAUUUUAAAGGUAACAUAGUUGAAUCUGUUAUUGUCCAAAAUUAUUUUCUGCAUUAAACACUAGAUACUAUGAGAAGAACUUAAAGUAAAAGGUACGUACUGUAAUUCUUCUCAUAUUAUGUAUUAGACUGAAAAAAUACACAUAGGUAGUAAGGAAGUUGUGUUCUCCCAUAGCACUGUGAUUAAUGUGUACUUAAAUUUCUUCAAAAGAAUCUCGUAAUAUGUCCAUGAGAUGUUCGUGAUUUUAUUACAUCAAAAUUUAAAAGCAAAUUUCAGGCUUACAAGCUCUGGCUUUUUUGCUGUGAUUGGCUUCUGACAUGAGCACAGGUAGUCCCUGUCUUGUAGUCUUGCAUUCUCGAUUUACAUAGUGGACUUUAAAUUGUUUUACUUCAGGGGAUGUUAUAAUCUCCUUUGAUGUCCAUAAAGUCAGUAGACCUAAUCUGCUUGAAAGAUACUGAAUUUCUUAGAAGCUCAUAUCCGCCUACUAUUUUACAUAGGGAUUAUCAUUACUAGGCUCAUAAAAUGUGUUUUUAACAAUAACAAAAUUUGAUAAGCAGCUUGGCUUCAUAAUGAGAAUUUAGCAAGACAGAAAUGCUACUCAGCAGCAAUAGUUUUUCCCUUGCAGAAACUAUGUCAUGUGAAAAGAAAAGGAAGGAGGAUCUGAUUUCUAGACAGUUCGUAACUGAUUGUGUCAAAAUCUACAUAAACGCAGGACACACAGUUCUCAUGGUAUGUAUAAGAGUUGUUUAAGGAGUUAAUUAUGGAUAGGAAUGAAUUAUCUGUGCAUAUGCUGCUGGUAACAAAUAAUCAACUUUAAAUUCUCAUUUUUAGACCUAAUGGUUGAUAUUCAAUUACUAAUGGUUAUCCAUCUAAAAAGCUAUCUUACAAUACUCAGCUUGAAUUAAAUAUCACUACAUUAAAUUGAAUUAUGAGAAAGAGUAGCUCAUCUAUAUAUGUAGAACAUCUUGAAAUUGAAAUUUGUUAUUCAAAUCGUGAUUCUGUAAUAUGGAAGUGCACAUUUUUAAUAUGAAUAUAGAGAAUUCAGUGCUUGCCUAUUUGAGUUGCAUGUAUGAGCUCAUUAAAAAAGGUAUGCUAAAAAUGAGUAUCUAUAAUAUAUAAUCUAGAAGAUACAAAACCAAAUACAUAGUUACUGAUACCAGUCUGUGUUAAUGUCUGUGGGUUGCUUCAAAAGUACUGCCUUCUAUUUAUUUCCAUGGCAAUUAAAACAGAUACGGAGGACACAAUAACACUGUUUGAUAGAGCAAAUUCUCAGCUACAAAGCACUAUUUUUCCUCAUAUAGUCACCACCAUUAACUCCAUGUGUUGCCAGUGAUGAACAAGUUCCUGCAUGCCAUGCUCGUAAAAUUCUGCAUGGCCAUCAGGGGUGUGGCUUGUCUUUCAUGUUGCUAUCAUCACACUGCUGAAACACACAACCCAUGGCCUCUCUGUGCUCACAACCACUGUUUGGUCCACAUAAAUGUUCACUGAGCAUUGAUGAAAGUCAGCAGGUGUCAUUUUUUAUGCUUAGAGGAAUUCAGUUAUAUGCCUGUGCUCAAUAAUUCACUUCCACAUCAGACACUGUUUUGACAGACUGCCCCUCUGCUGCCAUCUGUUGCAUGGCAACAAAAUGUAAUGGAAUAUUGGUAGGAAGUUUCAGCCUCUACUGACAUACCACUAGCAUCUGCCUCUGAUGUUGUGGGCCAACAUAACAAAAUUGGAGGCAUCAUUUUCAGAGCAGCCCUUGUAGACAGCACCAUAAAUGCCAGUAGAUGAAACCGUAAACAGGGUGUACAGCUUUAAGUUUUCUUUUUUGAAUUAUUCUUUACCAUUUUACAUCACUUUUAAAGACUGCAUUUUGAAAAAUGGUCAGCAUCUCUAAUUCUGUAUGCAUAAGCAGUUGGGCAUGCUAGGGGAAAAACCUAUUUCUAGGAUUUAUGUGUGUAUACUAUCUGAGUGUGCUUAGCAUGACCGACAGUUAUCACGUACCAGAAUGACAGUGUAUUUUGCAUUCUUAUAGGAGAUUUGUGCAAGUAGGUGGAGACAAUGGGAGGUCUAUAUGAAGUUCUAACUGGCUUAAGUUGGUGAUGUUGAAUGUGACUGUUAACGCUAUAUAUUUCUGAAAGUUUUAGAGUCUUUAUUUGUAAUGACAUAUUAAGGAUUCAUUUACUGUUUUCCAACUUACAGAUUUAUUCUGAAGACAUUUUUUAAAGGGCACUCAAUCUUAACUUUCAUUGCGUGGAAACAGAUUUAUGCCCCAUGAAACACAUGGCUACUUAAUUUUGGCUUCUACAUUCUUGUUUAUUUGUAUAUCUUUCUGAAUAUAUUCCUCUUUGUUAUUAGCUUACUCCUGCCUCUUUGCAGACAUGCGUAAUCAGCCACAAGUUUCAAAGGUUGCAGUUGGUAGGAAGGGCAUGGGGAUAACAGCCUGAAGCAAGAAUAGACGAGAAAGUGUGGAUAAAAUCAACUCUGUGUUCUGAUAAGAGAGAAAUAACCUACCAUUUGUACUAUUUACUUGGAGGAAUUUAGAAACUAGCAGGGAGGAAGAUUAGACAGCUUAGGAAGAAUUAGAACCUUGAAAAAAGAUGUAAGAGGAUGGAUGAUAUACCUCAGGAAGAAUAUGUCUUAGCAUAUAGUCUAGGGAGACAAACUUACAUGGCACUUCAUAUAGAUAUGACUGCUGCAAGCUCAGCUUCAAUACUGUAUUAAAUUGAAUAUGUUGCAUCCCAGCUGGAACUAGCUAUGAUAUGUCCUAAGGCACCAUUUUUAUCAGCAGCCUUUUUGGGUUAGCAAACAACAAAUGAACAGUUUCUGUGCUUUGAGCCAGUAAUAAUGAGAACUUGAUAAAUUCAAAUUCUUAAACUGUGAUCAUUAAACUAUUUUGUUAAAAUUUGUUUUUGUUGAUCUCACUGAUGGAGACACCUCUUUGCCUAGUCCCAUCAUGUUGAUUUGAGAAAGACCAUGGAUUCUGACAAGACUUAAGGAUACAGAGAAACAGAAAUUUUAGACAAGCAUAGUGUUUCAUUGUUUAUUAACCAAGUAGUUUUGUUUCUGUGGGAUCAUUUCAUCUAGAAUCACUCUGAUAAAGACACAAAACUACUGUGUUGGUUGUCCUUAACAGAAUGUAAAAAUUUUUGAGUGCUCAUUUCAGACUGACAGACUGGCAGUAAAGUUGCCAACUAAUAUAUCUGGCUGAUCUUUUGUAUGAAAUGCAACAAGUAGCUUGAAGUCCUCCUCCUUUGGGGCCAGCAAAUUGAGAAUGCCAAUAUUCUGUAUCACUUGAGGGUGUUUUGAGGUCAGUUAGUGUUUUUGAUCUAGCAGUUACAAUAAAAAAUCUAGAUACAAAAAAGCCUACUUACAGUAAAUCUGUUGUUGUGGUUAUACUUUUCAGUUAUUUUAGUCCAAGAAUCUGGAGAAUUUCCUUGUAUUUGGAAACAGCGUGAUGCUGUUUGACAGCAGUCCACAUGCCAUGUCUUACUUCUAAUGGCAAGAGCUUGGCUGUCCAUUGAUGUGAAAGGGCUUUUUGGUAAAAUGUGAGUUUUGCUUUUUCCACUGAAAUGGUUGAAAAGUGAUUUGAGUAUAAAAUGGACACAGUGACAAUAGGAAAACCUGAGAGAGAGAAAGAAUGGAUUUCUUCCUAAUUAGUCUGAACAUAAUAAUGUGUAGCAUGUUAGCAGAACAUGUCUGAUUUUUAACAGAGGAAAAAUGAGAGUGCUCAGCACAAGAGAAAAGCUUUGCAUUAAAUAAACCUUUUAUUUUCCAGUGUCAGUUAAGUUCUGCUGAACAAAACCUUGGACCAUUGCUCUAGAAAGCAGCAGGUGAAUGCCACAAGGCAUCAUACUGAGGCCAGGGUGAGGGCAGCCACAGGGCUGGGACAUGGCCAAUGAGGAGAGCUAGGCAAGGCCUGACCAAGGUCCUGGGGGUCUAUGCUCAUACUGAGCCAUCUGCUGGGCAGUGCGGCAUGCCACUGUGCCACGUUCAGUCAAAUGUUGCAGAGCACUGCAAAAGAGACGUGGAGGACAGCUUGCUGAUUUUGUGGGCUUCCUCAGGCAAGCAAAGGCUGAUCAGGCAGAAGCCAGUUGGGUAGCUAUCCCCACAGGCAUCAGGAACCCAGCGUGAGGAGCCCAGAUGUGGUGUGCACUCAUACAUACCAACAUGAUAAAGGAUGUAUUUCCUCACAUGCACUUACUGGCUUUUUGGGUGGGUAGGAACUAGGAGGUUUUCCAGUCCCUCCCUGAUGUUUUCUUAGGGAAUCACCAUGAAAUGUGUUCCAUGUGAUGGCCGCCCAUAUUGCUCUUAGCAAAUACAUCUUUAUCUUGGCUUCAUAUCAAAAUGGGCUAUUGAUUUCAGAUUAACAAAAUCAAGAAAAAUAUAAGUGUGAGAUACUUUUAUUCUUCAAUAAAGUUCUGAGGACAAUAAUUGGAUUUGCCUUCCAGACAGGCACAUAGUAUUGAUUAUGAAUCUGAAACUAUAAUUCAAACAAGGCCAAAACUAAUAGAAAGUAUACACAUGUUCAGUAACAAAUAAAUUAAAAAAUAAAAAAUAUUCAUAUGUUAAAUGCAAGAAUUUUACAACUGUUACACUGAUAUGUUAUUGUAUUACACUUGCCUAAGUGGCUUAGCUGUUUUGUGUAUAACCUAAUAUAUGAUUUCACUGUUAGAGAAUUAUGGAGUAAACUAAAGAAAGGUAAAACACUUUUUAUCACUAACAUAACAUAAAACAUACCUCAGUGACUGUUGUUGUGAAAUACUAUUUACUAUUUUUUUUUCUUUUUGGUCCUUGAUGAAAUUAAUGUGGGAAUGCAGUAUGAUGCCGGAUGCUAAAGUAGAUCAGUAGAUUAAUUUUAGUCUCUUAUGUAUGCAACAGAGUUCUGAACAGUCUUUGGGUGAGGCUGUCAUGCUGAAUAAUUUCUUUAUCCAUUGAUCUCUAUUCAAGACUUGAACUUCAGUAACUGGACAUCUCAACAUCAUAAAAUAGUCAAAACUUGAAAGGAGACAUUAAAUUACAAAAAAAAAAAAAAAAAGGAAAAAAAGUUAUACCUCUUUUCACUUUAAUUUCUUUCUUUCUUUCUUUUUUUCUUUAAUCUCACUAAAAAAAAUAUAUAUCAAAAUGUACUGUACUAUGAUUUUUAUUAACCAGUUCUUACAACUUGCAACUGAUUGUCUCAGCUUGAAUUUAUCUGUAGUAUACAGAAUUCUCUUGCCCAUUCACAAAGAAAAAGUAUUAUUUAGAGUAGUUCUCAUCCACAGCUUCCUCAUUACUGGAUUUAUGUGAAAAGCAGAUCUUAUUUCCCAUGGUUAUUCACACAGAAGUUUUCUUUUUAUGACUUGAAAAAUAGGGUUAUUCUUCUUUCCUUGAUACUUGAUGCUUUUAGUUUAUUCCUAUAGCAAAUAGAAGCAGAGGUUCUCCAGUUCCUAAGUGCUAUUGGUGCUUUUUAUGUGUAAUAACUGGACUUAACACAAAAAAUAAAUUUUUAUCCAGUUAUUUUAUGCCAAAAUCAACACUCUCCACAGUCUGUACAUAUACUGGUAUACUGGUAUUGCUUCUAUCUUGAUUCAGAGUACAGCCACCAUGUUAAUGAAGUGUUAGCAGAUAUGUAAGAAGUUAUCUAAGAAACAUUAUUUUAGUUUUUUGAAACUGCUCUGCAAAAACAUUUCUUUUCAGUUAGUAAUUGCUUAGAGCUUAUAAAGUUGAAUGAAAGAUAAAAUAGAUCUUCCUUUUUUUCAACUACUUAACACAACAAGCAUUCAUUUUUUCCCCUGGAUCUAAACUGGAACUUUUGAAGAAUCUGAUCUUACCUUUCACCCAGAAAGAGGAGGAGAGAUCAAAGAACUCUCUCUGUUACCUUCAGCUGGUCUCUGCAAUGCCGUUACUGCUGCUGCUACAGAGUCCAGGUAAAAUAUUCUGCAUUGACUGAGUUAAGAGAUUACACUAAACCAAGCAAGUUUAGGGAUAUGGCAGAUGUCUUCACUUUUGUUUCCUUUUAUUGCUGAUGAGGAUUACCUUAUGAUUUAACCAACAUCCCGAUUACAAGGACUGAGUUUGGAAGAACAAUGAUGCUUCAGAUAAAAUGUCUUAUCCCCUUUGCAGAAACAGGAAGCUAUGGCAGUGAUGGAAGUGCAAACAUCAGAGGAUCCCAAGAGUACAGCAGUGACUUGAGAGAGCUGAAUGUUAGAACAGCGGAUAUUCAUUGAAGAAGUCAUGGAAGAGUCAUUCCCUGGAAGGGACAGGUAACUCCCUGGAAAGACAUGAAAAAAAUCACUACCAUUAGCCUGAUAGAGGUAGGAGAAAAAUACCGAAAUGUAAAUGUUGGAAAUGUCUAUUUUAAUACAGGUUUGCUUUGGCAAGAGUGAACCUAGGAAGGAAAGCAAGCAAUGAACAUAAUGUCCAAAAUAUUUAUGGUUAUCUUUGUUCAUGGUUUUAUGUGGCAAAACACUCAGUCUGGUUUUCUGAUUGCUAUCUCCAGCUUAUUUUCCUGUGGUGCCAUCCAAAGACAUUUCAACACUAAAAUUUUAAUCAACCUCUGUUUUUCACUGGAAAAUUUAAAUAAAAUAAUUCAUUUGAACAUUUUAGUAGUUGUUAUUGCUCUAUCAUAGUCUACUUAAGCAUUUCAACUUGUCAAAGAAUGAUGGGUUGUUAUGGGUAUUUUAAUGAAAGACCAUAUUAAAAAUACCAAAGUAAUGUAAAACAUAUUGUAAAUGAGUUCAAAAUUAAAGGCACUUCAUGUCCUUUAUUGAACUCCUACAGUUUUGCUUGUAUUCACACUAAUGGCUGACGGUUUGUGAUGGGAAUGUGAAAAUCAAGCUGUAUUAGUAUUCUCAAAUACUGGAGAUUUACUAUUUCCCUUUUCACCGGACUGCAACAUUGAUUUUUACAUACAUAUGCUUACGUGUAUGCAUAUGUAAAUAUUUAUUAAACUUACAUGCACAUAGCUUAAACGUAUUACAUAUAAAUAUGCAUAUUUGUACUUAUGUCUAUAUAAAUUGAAGGCAAGGACAUCACAGCAAAUUGUAGAUUGCACAUAAACAUUGCAGAUCAUUUCACAUGAACUUCUUGGGCCACCUUCAAUAUAGUUCAAUUGGAAAGAUUUACAAGGGACAAAUACCGUGGGCUACUUUUAAAUCAGCCUAAGACUACCUGUUGCAUGCUCUUCUGUUAAUUUAUCUUCCCAUGUUUAUGCCCACAGCUAAAGAAGGUAGGUCAGCGAAGAAAGAAACUGCUUUUGUGUAAAAGUGUAGAACUAUGCGUGAUUAGACAGAAUUUUCUGUAGGAAAUUCAGGUAUAUGCUUAUCUACUGAAUCCUGAGAGGAAGACUGGGGGAAUAAAGUGUAUAGUAAACUAAUAAAACAAUUUCUUCUGUAGCAGAAGAGACAAAGAUAUCGUUAUUAAUUUGUUCCGAGACAGUGUCUAGGAUGGCUUUUUGGAUUAUUUUCACUCAUAACAAAUGUAACUUCAAACUUUAAGAAAAAGAUAGCUAAGUAGGACUACUCUUUUAAAAAUGUCUUAGACUAAUUUAAGUUGCAUCCAUAUAUGACAGAUAAAAUGGAGUACUUCAUCAAGCUUAUAUUCAAAUAUGUAGUAGUAAUGGUCAGUAACCUAAUAUUUGGGAGGAAUUUUGUUUCCCUUUCAUCUGUGCAUUCCUAAUGAAGGUGUUCUAGAGCAUAUGUAGACAUGGAAAGGUAAUGGGGAAGAGGAGUCUGAGGUAGAGGCCCAGACAUCUCUUUAAGAAAACAAAAAUAGCUUCCUUUUGGAGAUUUACUUUGAGGUCUCUGGAUAUAAGAAAAUCUGUAUGAAAAUCCUUGUCUGGGUUAAUUCUGAGGAGUGUUGCAAAUUAUUAACUGUACAGUUAAAGCAACAUCUUAUCCAGUAGUAAAGGUGCGGCCAAUGUAGCCUAGAUACCACUUUAUUAAGCAUCUGUAUAUGCUUUGUAAGUAACAUCAUUGGAUGAACUCUUUCUUUCUAAGAGUUUAUUAUUAUUCUUUUUAGUUGAGUGGUCUUCCCAGUUUUUUAUUUUAUUUUUAAAUUUAUUAAAAUGAAACUGAAAGCAUAAAAACAAAAAUACACCAACACUGAUAUUCAGUAUUAAUAAUUAGUAAUGUCCAAGCUAUAAGCUCGUUAAUAUAUAUGUCUUUAGAACAUGAUUAGCAAUGUGAAAUUUACUCUGUUGCUAUAUACCACUGGUGGCACUGCCUGUGAAAGUGCCACUGACUGAAGUCACUGUACGAAAGAGAUACGCACAGGAAGGAGAAUGUGUCCUCACAGAUUAGGUUUCCUUUUCUAUCAACUGUAAACAACCCAUAGGUAUCUCCAGAACACUUAUGGAGCAUCUCUGGGGUUAAACAUCUGGUCUUUCUACCUUAAAGAUAAUGAGUAUAUAGAUAAAUACCAGCAAUCUUAAUCUAACAAAGAGCUCAGGGGACAUGCUGGCUACUGUGCAUAGGGCCUUAAUGAAGUGGACCCUCUGGAAUGGAUUCACUGGAGUGGGACUUGUUAAUCAAUAGCGUCGUUCUUCCUAGACCAUUCCCUCCAAGAAGUAUGGCACUUCAUUUGGGGCAGCUGCUGCUGUGCCACUCAAAGAUAGACUGAUGCACUCUGGGAGAUCAUAAGCCAUAGGAUGUGAGGGAGAGCAAGACAUGAAGGAGUUCACUUCAUACCUGAUGUUUGUUGCAGUCAACUCACAGGAAUAAAAGUAAGCUUCCAGUGCUGUUUGUCUGAAAUAUGCACUCCCUUCCCUGCAAUAAUCUCUAAGACAGAAACUAUGUCAACAGAGACAAGAAUUCUCAUUCUUUCUAUUAUGCUUUCAGCCCUAAGCAGUCAGUAAGGUCUGAGCUGCCCAAGUUCUGUACAGUAUCAUCCAUAAUUCAUAGAUUUCUGGCUUUCCAUUAGCUCAGCAUCAGAAAUUGAAGAGUCUGAGCGUUGCAAGGUGAUUAAGGACUUUUUUUUCUGAUAUGUUGCUUCUUUCUAAGGCUGAAUAUAGGUUUAUUUUCUGUACAAGUGCUCUUGCUAAUAGGUUAUCAUGAAAGAGGUUGUCACUAAAACAUACGAGUUCUUGUUGCAUGUAACUUAUCUUUUCCAGGAUCCAUAAAUUCUACAGCAAAAUAAAACUCAAAGUUUGAGGAAGAAGGAGCUUUUCUCUUCUGAACAAACACUUGAGUGUGUGUGACUAGGUAAUUUAAACCUGUACAGAAUUAAGACUUAAGUUGAGAACAGCUAAAAGAAUAUGGAUAUCUAUUUAGAACCCCUGAAGAAAAGGAGGAAUAGAUCUCUAACUAUAACUGUGUUUCAAAUGCUUUAUUUCUCAUCUGGUUUUAUGAAGACUAUUUCCACAGGGUAAUUUUGUAUCUUUCCAUUAUGAGAUAACUGUUUUUUGUAUUAAAGGGAAAUACGGAACAUAUCCCAUCUAUCUUGGCAUUAGUGAAGCCGUUAAUUUAGUACAAAGUUGAAAUUUUAAAGUUAAAAUGAGGAAGAUUGGGUUUUUAGUAAACAGUGAUAAAGUUGGAAAAGAAGUAGCUGAAAGAGAGGAAUUGGCUUUUUAAAAAGAAAAAAAGGAAAGAGAUUUGUAGUGAAAUUCUUAAAGGUCAGAUCUUAAGAAAGGAUUCAUAUAGUGUAUAGCAGAAAUUAAACUGAAUGGUAUAAUGGUAAGAUCAUUUGUUUUAGCACAGAACCUUAGGUGCAGAAGGCUUGAAAUCAAUUAUGGGACUAUGAGGGUUCAAAAAUGAGGUGUAGCUACUAGAAAAUGAGAGUAGUUUCUGAAUACAUCAGAAAACAUAUGUUUGUGUGCAGGGGAACUGUGGUGCACUGAUGUUUUGUCAUCUACAUUACUAAAUAUAGGUCAGUUCACCCAUAAUCAAGCUAAAAAAUUCAUGAAGAAACUCUAUUAGAAUAAUAUAGGGAAGGAUGCAUGCUUUAUAAAGCAGGGACACCAAAAGAGUUUGGCUUAUUUAAUAAAAUGAAGGAAUAAAAGACAGAAUUGUUCUUUCAGCACUGGUAGAAGUACAAGAGAUGUUCAAACCAACGUACAGUUCUGUGAUGUCUAUAAGUGGGUGUUAAAGUGAACAAUAAUGUAUUUAAAUAAACAAGCAGAAGAGACUUGUUAACAAUGAUAGGAAAGAAGUUUUGGAGCAGUAGACCAUAAAGAGAGGAAAGCAAAAGCAAAUGUAAAGUUUGGUAAUGUAGUGGAAUUUCAAGGUAACAGCCUGAACCAAUGGGUGGGCUACGUGAGUGUGAGGGUGCCUGGAGCCAGGGGGUGGGAGGGUUUGGAGCCACCCCUUCUGUCUCUGCAAUACUUCCUGUGCAAUCUGAGUCUGCGCAGGUCCCGCUUUUCCCCAGCCCUUCUCUCUGGUGGUGCGACGGUCUGAAAGGAGGAGGGUCACAUUCCUCAGCUCAUCCCUUUCUCCAAACUUACUGGGAGGAGUGAGUUAAUUCCUUUUUGAUAUCUUUUCCUAUAGCGCCUAUUUCUCAAAUAAGGGCUCUGUCAUUGCCUUCGUUUGCUCUACAAGUAAAUAGCCAAUAAAAGGAACAGGCAAAGGCAGAACAUGGAAGUUUAUGAAAUCUUUCAAAUAACGUGGUCAUCUCUAGUAGAAGGGGAUGACCCAGGAAGUUCUGUGUUCAUGAGAGAAAUAGGAGAUAUCAGUGGUGGAUAUCAAAGAAAUAUUUAAGAAAGCCUGAUCACUUGUCUACCAUUUUUCUCCCUAAUACCAGUUUCAUGAACAGAUGAGCUGCAACACUAUUUUUCAGGUGAUACCUGAUAAUCAAUUCUGAUCACCGUGGCACUUUGCUAAUACCACUGCUGUUGCUGUUAAAAGGUUUCUCUUCUCUUUGCUGGACUGUGUAAUCUACUUGUUCACAUAAGUUUCCUUGAAACAUUAACAGUUGUUGCAAACUACCCAAAGCACAACGUAUAGCUAUCUACUGCCUGAGUAUAUCCAAGUAUUUAUGAGUUCGCAUAAUUGCACUGGAAUUUAUUUCUCUUCAGGAACUUGAGAACUUACAGAGCUAUUAAAGAUUUAAUACAGCCGGAAAUAUUGUUAUUGCUUUCUACAGGAGUAAGUGUAUGCAUUUUGUUAUUUGCCUUUUUUUCUUAUAACAAGUAUGUAAAUGAGAAAUAAAUACUGAAAGCUGCACAGCACUAUAUCUCCCACACAAAGGGAAGUCAUUUUAAAAAUAGCUUAUGCUUUGAACAGGAAAAUGGAAAAACACACAGAGUAACAAGGCACUAUGGCUAUUCAGCUUUCUGAUAAAAAGAAAUCCAUCAACGGUUUGCCUUUAACAGUUUGGCUGCACUCUUUUGUAGUAAAAGAUAAAAAUAUCAGUUGUGUUCCAGAGAUUUAGUGGGGGGGGAAAAAAAAAAAAAAAAGUGACUUUACUCUUAUUGUUACAUAGGAAUAUGUUAGGAAAGCUUAUAGCAGGCAGUAACAAUUCAUGUACUGAAAGUCUAAGUUAUUGAUAACCUGAAGAUUUCACCAACUGAAGUUCAAAUAUAUUUUCAGUAACUCAGUGAUAUCUUUGAGUUUGCUUAGACUGUACUUUGGAAGAUUUCAAUAAGUGAGAUUUAAUGUCAGUUUAACAAUGUGCUUAGCACAUGUUGAAUACAUAUACUGAGUAGAUGAAGAAAAGGAAUAUUUGUUAUAUAGCAUUAGAAUUUAAAGGAGACCAAACAAAAACAAAGUCUUGAAUAGAAUGGAAAUGGAAGGAAGAAAGAAAUGUAUGUCCUUGACAACAGUUUAUAAGCAGAGGUAUGUAUUUUGUACUUAUUACUCUUUGUUACAGACCACUGGAGUUGGGAAAUAGAUAAUUGUUUACUACAAAAAAAUGCUAAUGUAAUCUGGACUUUCUUAAUGAAAAACACAUUAUACCUCUGACUCUUCAAACUCAGCAAAUUUAUUUAAAGAUUGACUAAUACUGAUUAUUGAGAGCUGCAGAGAAUUCAAAACCAUAUGAGAUCCUUGCUUUAAAGAUUGAUGUUAGAAGAUUUAAAGGUAACAAUCUUGGGGAAUGAAGAAGAAACUUAAUGUUUGCUUUCUUGAUGUUAUUUCACUGUCAAGUUGUAUCUUCAUAAGUAAGCUAGAGAAAUAUAUCUUAAUGAAAGUACUGCAAAGUAUGAGUUUGCUAGGUAAACACAAUUUUCAGAAAGCAACUUAUUUGUUCAUUAUCAGAAAAGAAGGAAGACAGACUAAUAUUUCAAAUGAAAAUUAAUAACUAUUAUUACUUAAUAAGAAACAUUUCAUUGUCCUUGCAGGUGGUAUACUGCUAAAACCACUAGGAGAAUGUGGAAGAAUAAAGAAGAAAGGAUAUAAUUUGAAGAUAAUAAUAAUAAUAAUAAAAAGUUAUAAUAAACUGGAAGAAUGAUGCCUAAAAUAAUCAAUUAAGAAAUAGCCAGAAGUUGGGCGUCCCUCAGGGGCCUGUACUGGGACUGAUGCUACUUAAUACCUACGUCAAUUACGUAGACAGUGGGAUGGAGUGCACCCUCAGCAAGUUUGUGAAUGACACCAAGCUAUGCGGUACAUUUGACAUGCCUGAGGUAUGGGAUACCAUCCAGAGAGACCUAGACAGGUUUGAGCAGUGGGCCUAGGGGAACCCCAUGAGGUUCAACAAAACCAAGUGCAAGGUCUUGCACCUGGGUCGUGGCAACCCCCGCUAUCAAUACAAUUUGGAGGAUUUAAGGAUAGAGCACAGCCCUGCUGAAAAGGACUUACUGGUAGACAACAAGUUGGGCAUGAGCCAGCAGUGUGCCCUCACAGCCCAGAAAGCCAAUCAUAUCCUGGGCUGCAUCAAAAGAAGCAUCACCAGAAGGUCAAGGGAGGUGAUCCUGCUCCUCUACACUGUGCUGGUGAGACCUCACCUGGAGUACUGUGUCCAGAUGUGGAGUCUCUCAGUACAGGAGAUACACAGACCUGUUGGAGUGUGUUCAGAGGAGAGCUACAAAAAUGAUCUAAGGGAUGAAACACUUCCCCUGUGAGGACAGGAUGAGAGAGCUGCGGCUGUUCAGCCUGGAGAAGAGAUGGCUCCAGGAAGACCUGAUUGUGGCUUUUCAAUAUUUAAAGAGGGUUGUAGAAAAGGAGGGGACAGACUUUCAGCAUGGUCUUUUGUGAUAGGAUAAGGGAAAUGGUUUCAAACUAAAGAGGAAGAUUUAGAUUAGAUAUAAGGAAAAAGGUUAUUGCAAUAAGGUUGUAAUACCCCAACCUGCAGUUGGUUGCCUGGAGAGGUGGUGGAUGCCUCCUCCCUGGAGAUAUCCAAGGUCAGGCUGGUCAGGGCUCUGAGCGACCUAUCUAUCCGUCCCUGUUCAUUGCAGGGGAGUUGGACUCGAUUACCUUUAAAGGUCUUUUCUGACACAAACAGUUGAAUGAUUGUAUGAGUGAAAUGAACAGAUUCUUCUCAUAUGUAUGGUUCUCACUAUUUAGCACUUAACAUGAGUUAUGUUUAUUCAUUGAUUUAUUUACUGCUUCAUCGGAAUGAAUACAGAGCUAGGUGGUUACUUAGAUUGUUAGAGAGCUACCAGAGACAGCAUUGAAAAGUAAAACCAUCUCCUAAGCCUCCAUGUGUUUAUCAAAAUUGGUCAUAAAAAGACCAAGAAAGAAGUAGUUAGUAGUUAUAAGUAACAGUGAGGAAAAAUUAAAUUACCUGGUAAUUAUUUUUUAUUUUUAUGCAUUAGUUGACCCUCUGAAGACCUCAUAACUUAGAUAAUGCCUUGUGAUCUCAUUGUUUUAUUCUAAUCUAAUAAUAAUUAAACAGAAAGUUAUUUCCAACUCUAAGGAAAAAUUUCAGCUGUGGAUAAAAUGUUUCCAAACAGAAAAGAAUUUGGAAAGAGAGUGCAAACUCUCUUUUCUUUAUCAUCCUUAAAGGAAAAGGGAAAAUAAUGUAUUUUUAUUUUAUGAAUAGAGGAUCUUCCAUUUAGAAUGCUUGGUUUGUUCUUGAAAAAUAUCUGAAGGAAUAUUAAUGAGAGAAGAAAAAACAAAUACAAAAUAAAUAAAUACCUAUCCCCUUACUGAACAUGAAACCAUAAAAAAAAAAAAAAAAAAAAAAACUGUAACGGCCACAAUUCACAUUAUGAUGAUAUCCUGAAAUUGUGUGUGAGAUCUAAAAGAGACCAUAUAGAUUCAGUGCAGUUGAUCUUAGGGUAGUAAGUGGAGAUUUUGUAUCUCUCAGAAGGUAUGGUUAUCCUUAAAGCACUGCUUAAAGAGUUAGAGGUAUUUUUUCCUGUUGGAAACUCUUUGCAAUAUUUCAAAUGAAAUCUUUCUUUUAAACAUUACAGUCACCUAGAAAGAAAGGAUAGAACCAUUUUGUUUCAUGUUGGCCUAGUAGUCUGUGGAUUUAUGGGCGUGUUUAAACUCUGCUCUAGUGAGACAAUAUGUCACAAAUAUUGUAUUAUUUUGUUAUUUUCUGACCAUCAACCUGAUGCUUGCUACUAUCCAAUGCCCUUCAGCCUGUACUCUGUAUGCAGGUUGAAAUAAGCCUGUACUUAUUUUGUGACAUAUUCGAAAAGAAUAGUAAAACAUUUAUAAGAAAAUCUAGACAUUUGCUCUUACACUAAGAAAAAAUGUUAGUUUGGGUGAAAAGACACCACAGCAUUUUAGGAAUUCCUUUUGAAGAAACCAUAUUUUGGAGAACUUUUGUCUAUGACUGCAACAUAUUACUGCACAUACUGCAGCAAAGUGCAAGCUGUGUGUCUGCAGUUUAAUCAUCUUUAAAGUGAUGAAGAGCAGGAAUUUUAUUUUCAGAGGGGAAAGAUGAGAAACAAAUCUAUCAAAAUUUGUUCCGUGAAUUCAGAGCACAUGGGGAUUUAUUUUCAAAACAGAAACUGGUUUGUUUCUGAGAAGCAAAUUCUAUUAUUGUUUAACAGGAUUUGGGGGCAGAAUUGUCAUAAACUGACUGAACACUUACUCUGCAGGAGUUUUUUGCAGCUGAGGAAAAAGGUUGGCAAAACAAUUUGUUUCUGUGGAUUUUUUUAGUGAAUUCAGCACGUGCCCCAGAAAAGGGCAUUUAUCUCAUUUUGAAAGCCACUUUCAUAUUCUUUCCCUAACUUGCUUACUGUUAGCUAAAACACUAAAUUAGAAAGAGUUAUUUCAAGUCCAACCCAAGGCUUAAUUUUACUUUUGGGGAAGAAAGUUGGAUUCCUAAAAUCAGUGGGGAAAAAAGAAAGAACAGUAAUUUCUGCGGAGGAACAACAAUAAAUACGUGCACACUUUUUUUUGCCUGUGUAUGAAGUGUAAGGCACAACAGAAUGAUUUAAACUUGCAUUCACCCAGAAUGAUUUUUUUUUCCCCUUCUAUAUCGUACUCUUGUUCUGAAACCUCACAUCUUAUCCAGGGUUUAAUAUAUCUUAGGGUGCAUUAAUUUAAUAAUUUUAGAAUGCUUUCAAAACUCUAAGGCUUAUUAUUUUAUUACCAGGAGUUUGUAACUUAGGCAGAAUACUGAAUAAAUUUUGUCAACCUUUCGUGCUUACUUUCUGGAGAAAAGGGGAAAAGGAUUAUUGAGACCUAGGGAUGGUCCGUGCCUGAGAAAGGAACUCUGUAAUCAGGUGUGGGGCCAGGAAUUGGACUCUGAUCCUUCUGGGUCCCUUCCAAAUUGUCAUAUUCUAUGAUUCUGUGAUUCUGUGCUUAGCCCAUACAUGACUAUCUCACCUAGGCUGCUGCUUUGAUGUGAUGGAAACACUCCUUGCAUCUUUAGCAGAAGGGGCCUUCCUAAUACAAAACAGUUACAAAGAGAUAGAAAAUCCCAAAGGAGUUCUUAGAGAGCAGCACAGCUCACUGAAUUAUCUCUGUGUUUUCUAUUUUAAACGUUGUGUUUCUUUUUUAAUUAUACAUUGAACUUCUGGCUGUUCCUGGAUAAUUUUCAUCACAGAAGGUUUGGAAGCGUGCAAAAUUUAGGGAUGAGGAUUUUGAACUAUGUGUGGAAUGCUUCCUCUUUCAGUGUUUUUGAUCAAGAGCUCAACUUCUUUUUUUGUGUACAGUAUUUUACAAAAAACAAGUCAUUUGAUGCUGGGCACUCAAAUGGACAAAUACAGGCUAGCAAAAUACCUCAGAAAAAUGAAUGGGAUAUUUCACUGUCCCUCAGGCCUUUCAAUAUUCAUAUUCUUCACAGUAUUUUCAGUGCAAUUGUUAUUGCUUCGCUAAAGCAAACUGCCUUUCCCAUAGAAAUAGUUAUUCAUUUGGCUGUUCAUCAUUUCAGAACAGGGACUGUGUUCUUUCCAAAUGCACGUAAAAGCUUGUGAAAUAUAUGAGAGAAGUUCUAAUCUCAUCCACUUUCUAACCAGAAAGACUAUGUGGAUGGAAAGUUUUAGGAUGCAUUUUCAGCAGUUUUGAACAAAACUAACAGGGUUUGGCAGAGUUCCUUGCUUAUGAAUAGAGAAAGAUUUGCAGAACUAGGUAACUACUUAAACUUGGAAACACAGCAAGCACGGAAAACAAACCAACAAACACAACCAACAAACAUUCCAAAGACAUUUGUUUUUUGGAAUAUGUUUGCUAAGUUUUGGAUGAGAAAUUUUUUAAUGGUCUUGUUACGUUGGUAACUGUGGUCAGGCAGGUGACAAAUUUUCAGACAACACCUAUAGGUUUCUGAGAGGAGUUUGAUGAUGUGAUGGCCUUGUGGCCUCCCAAGGAACAACCUCAAACACUCCAUCAUCCUCCUGUCUUGAUUCUGAACACCUGUCCAACAUUAACACAUAUUCUUCGCAGAGAGAGAAUAAAGAAGAGAAAAAUAUAAACAUCUUAAUGAAGAAAUAAAUGAGUGGAUGUAUUAACUAAAUAAGGGAUUUAAUUGGAUUGCUUUUGUCCUGCGAGCUUAUAAUUAGCAGAUUUUUAUUUAUGGCAGAAAGACCUAUCCUUAGCAUAUAUGCAGAGCUAUAAGAUAGGUAGAGCUCAGGGCAUUUUUAAUAGAUUCUCACUUUAUAAUUUGCAGGAGACAAAAAUCUUUACGCCAGACUCUGCUCUCAGUUACAAGAGCACACUGGAAUGCACCUUUAAUGUGUCUUGUCAGUUUUAUUUUCCCUUAACCCUUGUAUUUGCACAUUUGGAAAGAUUUUAUGACAAAACGGUCCCUGGCAAUUUUGAGUGUGGUUAAAUAUUACUUUUUAUAAUAUAAAGUGGAAGCAUAAAAUAAUCCCUUAGAGGCUGCAAUCUAUUUCUUCGUAAGUGUUUCCUUGCUUAGCAUGGGGCCAGAAGUUUAUCACCAUUACUUUGCCUACAAAUGAACUGUAGACGUUUAGAGAAAUAUAUUUAAUAUAUUUUAAAUAGGUAAAGAAUGUAAUAAAAUUUAUUCUGCAACAAACAGUUCUUCCCUGAGGAAAAAAAAAAAAAAAAAAAAGAGAUGGUUUCCAUAUUUGUGUGUAAGAAAAGGAAUUUGUUUGUGAUCUGUUAACCUUGCCAUCUUGUCUUUAAAUAUUUGUUCUCAUCAAAUCCUUGUCAUGUCAUGAUGUCAAAGGAGGGAAAAUGUCUAGAGAAAAGCUUUCAUCUUCGAACAAGUAGAUGGAAGACUGUGAAAUGUCACCCUGACUUUGACUUUGUUUGUUUAUUGCUUAUUUCUGUUGAUUCUAGUGCAUUCAGCAGGAGAUCUGUUAGAACUCACAAGCCUUUAGCUACCAGUAAUAGCUUUGGAUAAGGCAUCGAAUACUGCAGCUGACCUAGAAUCUUGCUUCUCUUAACAAAAAUGUUAAAAUGUCUCUAUCCAAAUGUGCUUUAUUCUGCCUCUUAUUUUGGCACUGUGCUUCUCUUAAGCCUAAUUAUCUCUAUAUAAUUUUGAAAGCAUUGAAGUGACAAUUUUAUGCCAUUUUCUAUUUUGGACACUGAUAAACUAUGAGAAAAAAAUUAAAAAAAAGAAAAAAGAAAAAAAAAAAAGAGGAAUAGAUGAAUUAGGUCAGGCUGACCUAAUCUUUUAACUCUAAUGUCAUCUACACUGCAGCUCAGACUGUAGUUCCAAUUGUGUUUCUUGAUAAUAUGAUGUCAUUUAGAAGUGUAUGAGAAAGGUUUUACCACUGACUAUUAAGUUGUCUGUAUUGAAGACAAAAGCACAUGUUUAAAACACCGCCAGAGGUAAACUGCAGGGAGAAUAAAGUGCAAAAACCUGUUGCUUUGAUAUUGUUACAUUAUCUAGACCGUGGUAAUGGAAAGAGGAUUAGCUGGGAAGGUAAUCUGAGUUACUGGAGGAACCAAGUCUCAAUACCAGCCUGAUGACACUCCUUUGGAAGAUGCUUUAAAGACAAACUAAAAUCCAUCCAUAAGCAGAGAAUCAAAUUUAUAAUUCUUAGUGUGCUUUAUUGAUAUUGCUGAGACUGAAAUGAUGUAUUUAGCUAUUUAAAUCUCUUAUUUCAAUGAUGAGAAUACUCUUCUGUCUAGAUAAUUUAAAGAAAUCAAUUUUCCUUAAAAUUAUGUUUUUGUUCAUAAUACAAUGUAUCUUCUGUACUGGAAAAAAUCGUGAGAAAUUUUAAGGCAGUUUUCAGAGAAAGACAAGAAAAAUAAACAAAAAAAGUGCUUGAGGUCAAGUGCAAAGAAGUUGUCAGUGGAUAGACUUCUUAAUCUGAUAGUAUCUGGAACAGAAACAAGAUUGCAACAGUUAGGUUUCAGAAGGGAAAGUGUCACGACUGUUUGGCGAAUUCCAGUAAUUGCUUGUUUAAUUUGCUAUUAUUCACUUGACAUUUCAUGCAUCUGAUUUCCCAAUAUCUAAAAUCCAUAUAAUAAAUCCUCACUGUUGUGAAGUGUAUCAAAAACUAAAUAUAAACAGGUUAUCCACUCCCUUUGUGUUACGAGAGCUCAUUUUCCUUGUAGGUUUGCCUUCAUAUAUAGUAUUACUAGAAUCAGGCCCCUGCAUGGAACAUUUGGUUGCUACUUCAUAUGCUAAGUAAAUGUUCUGAGCUGUUUGUUUAGGAGAAACUGUGACCAGUUGUUUUAGGCCAUCAAGCCGCUUAAUUUGACUAGAAAUUUCAAUAACUGUUUCAUUGGAACUCUGAUAGAAAGAACUGUAUCAAAAUCUAUGAGUCUAAUUUAGGUUUUGCUAUGCUCUGAUUUGAUGUGGAAUGCUUUUGUGUGUAGAAAACAGAUAAGCUUCAUUUUAAGACGACCUUAAGGAAGGUUAUGCUAUGCUCUAGAAAUAUAAUUAGAUUUAUUUAGCUUAAUGUAUUUUCUAGUUUUGAUUUCUACAAAUAACUGAUAAACUGAAUAGGCACAAGGUGUUUUUAUUCUGAAAUGAACUGUAGCCAUCUAGUUUUUCCAAAGGCUGCUAUUGCACUUAACAUUCACGUUCUUAUCUUACCCCAAACCAUCAUUAAAUGAAAGAAAAUACUUUAUUUUGGUGUACUUGCCAUUGUCUUGAAAUUAGUUUAAAAUGGAAAAAUUAAACUUCAUUUGAAUGUUAGAUAAAGGAUUUUGCUGACUCCUAUGUUUGAUGGUUGGGUUUCCCCAGGCCCAGUGACUAAUGGACACAAUGUCAAAGAAGCAGAAGCCCCUGAAGUACCAGUGAGCUUUUAAUGUUCAUUCAUAAUGGCACUGAUUGGCACAAAGGGAAAAUUAAUAAAACUAGUGUAUAGUCAAGGGAAACCACAUCUAAUAUUUUCUAAUGUUCCUGCCUUUACUCAUUAAACCUCUCUCUGACCCUUAAGAGGCUCACACCACCUCUGAUGCAAGAGCUUUUUUCUGUGUAAUGCUUACAAUCUGAGAGAGCCUUGCUAUAUUUCUCUGCCUCAUCGACAAUUUCUCUUUUUAAAAAUUGUCAUGGAAAAAAGGUGAACAUUUUCCCCCUAAGCAGAUUCAUUCCUCUCUCAUGCCCCUUUCUCGUCUCUGUAGAUAAAAACUGCUACAUUAAAUAAAAAUAUACUGUAAGCAAAGCAUAGUAAACAAAUGCAAUUCAGGGUAAAACUGAAUGCCCACUAAUCAUUUUUCUCUGCUUAUUUUUCUUUGACAGUAUUCCUAAUAGGGAUUUCAAUGAAAAAUACUCAUCAGUUUCCUAAAGUUCCCAGAUGGAAUUUAAAUGUAGCAGUGGAUUCAUGUUUUCGUUCGGGCUAUCUGGGAGCAGAAGACGGAAAGGUGGUAGUAUUAAACUUUAGAUAUCAGAUUUUUUUCUCUCUUUAUGUAUAUUUAAGAACUAUUUCUAGAUAUUUAAAUUUUAAUUAAAAUUAAAUGAAAUUCUAAUAAGACUCUCAUGACAGAAAUAAAGGUGUAUUCUAUACCUUGUAAAAGGCUGAGUCCCAAAGGAAUUAACUAUUGCACUCAGAUGCUAUUUCCCUACUCCCGAGAUUAAACUUAGCCACCAAAUUAGCUGGAAGAUGAAGAGUCCUAUGCUUGGUCUGUCUCUUUUAUAACUGUUCUUGAUGAUCUUUUUCUUACAAGGAAUUGAAAGUGAGCAAUCAAUUGAAGUAAUUUCUAGUGAAGUAUGUUAGCAAGGUUAUAUCUGGUUGUAGCAACAAUUUGCAGAGUGAUUAGCAACUGCAUGCUAAUUAUUCAAGAAGCCGUUGAUUUCCUGAAAACACUAAUUCUCAGUUCAGAUUGUGUGAUGUCUUUGUUUCAUCUCUGGUAAAGAAGCUUUUUGCAUAUAUUCUAUUUACACCCACUAGAAAAUUCAGGGUAAUAUCUUGGUGAACAGUCUUCUUCAAAUAUCAGUUAAGUGUAACUCUAACUAUAUUACAUAAAAUCCUUGUUUCAUUCCCCACCGCACCCCCCCCCCCCCCCCCCCCCCCCAAAAAAAAAUCAAAGUGUAUUACACAAGUCUAUAUAAUAGCUUGUUUUGAAGCAAAAUGGUAUGAUUUGUGUGUAUGGACAAGUUCCUUUCAGAUACUGAUUUCUACUCAGAAAGAAUUGCAUGAGAAUACAUUUUGCAAAAAAAAAAAGACAAUGAAUAAAUUCUGCUACAGUCCAGAUACUCUUUGCAUUCCAGAUUUAAGGAGUUCUGGUGAAGUUACUGGGUUAAUUAUGCAAA